CCAGCCCCAGAUACGUAUCUGCUCUAUUUGGGACCAAUAAAGCAGGCCAGUUAUUACUGUUCGGCCCAAUGUUUCUUUUGUCUCCACUUCUGAGUCCUUAAUCCCUUCUCUCCCCCGCCCAAUUUAUACCAUACUUUUCUCGGCUGUGUAAUGAAUCCGAACUUAAUGUUAAUGUGAAUCUGUAGUACGAGAGACAACAAGAUAUGAUAUGAUCAACGCACCACAAAACGACUGACAAGUCUGAGGAAUUAUCAUAUAUGGUUAUUAAAACACAGAGAGAGUAGUUUUGAGUUGUUUAGCAUAAUUCUUGCAGAUAUUUUAGACAUACAUGUUCUCUCUAUCAUUCAUCUAACGUGACCUUUUGGCUUUUUUUUUUUCUCUUUUAUACUUCACGUGCUCUGUACUGAAAACUGAUAAAAUCAAACAUUUUAUGAUACCUAUUAGCUUCCAGAGAUUGGCCUUGUACAGUGCCCACAAAUGAGAGUAAAAUCAUAAAAAAAAAUCUUGUGAAUCUUCUUCCUUUUUAAUAUUUUUUCUUAAAUUCACAAGCAAAGAAGCUAUAACAAACAAACAAAAAAAAAACACACAAUCCUACUCAAAACAAACACAUUCGUUACAAACAGCCAGCAAAAAACGAAUCAGAACGGUUCACUGUAUAGUUCCUUCUUCUCUUACUUUGUGUAUUUCAUUCUCUAGUAAAGACGUUCUCUGUUCCACCACAGCACAUCAAAUCUAAACGUUUUUAACAAACAUUAUUAUAUAUGUUCUGUAGUGUGGUGUGUGGAGAUUAAGGAAAGAACCAGACUUUGAUGAAGAUCGAAAGAACCAUUUGCAGACCAACUGCUGCAGCCACUACAACCGUCAGAUCAUUGCUCCCUUCAAGGUAAGACCGUAGAUUAAGAGCAACAAAGCACGAUGAUGCGCUACCAGCUGAGAGUAUUAUCACCCAUCUCAGAAACUCCACUGGAAUAAGCAAUGGCAGCUGCAAAAAGAAUGAUCCUGACUAAUCAAACACCUCUCAGUUAUCUUAUGUGUUACUGAUAAUCAUUCAACUGAUUAAUAAUAACAGUGAAAGAAGCAGAAGUUAGUGAAGAUAGAUACUUACGGAGGUUGGAAUGAAAAUGAAGAGAGAGUAACCCCAGAGGCACCAGAAUCUUAGGAGAUCAGCUCUGGACCCCAUGUACCGGAGCGAGAAGUAAAACGCCAGAGGCACGAUUAUUGCGUAGCCGUAGAUUAUAGAUGCUGCCAAGUUUAUGUAGUUCACAUCAAAGACCCAAGGUGCUUCACCGUCGGUUCGUUUCUUCACGAGGUACGUGGCGCAGUUUCCGAGAGAGGAAAGCACAAACACAAGCGUAGUGCAGAUCCAAACAAGUCCAUACCUAAUAAACACUUGACUAAUAUACAGCCUGACUGAGAAUAUUAAAAAGGAAUCUCAAUAGGAGAUGCCAAAGAGCGAUCAGCUACAAGAGCCAGGGGGCACUGAAAGACUUACAUAUCAGGGUUGGCAUCAAUCUUGUUGAAAAAAUCACCACUAGUGGGAUACAAGGAGCUCAUCAAUCUGUUCACAACAACGUCAGUGUCCACGUCGAAGUACUGGGUGUACGAGUAGACGUUAAAGAACCCCUUCCAACUGUUCGAUGGCUGUUGUUCAGGUCUUUCUACAGUUACAAAUUUAAAAAAAAAAAAAAAAAAUUUCAUACAGGAACAGGACAGAACAAUGUACAUAGACAUGAAGAAGAAAACAGACUCCACUCACACAAGCAUUCUUUAAACAACCACGAUGAACAGAGUUAGAAGUUCAAACAGUCAAAUUUCGAAUACAUAACAAUGCCUUAUCAUUGUUGUUUAUACCUGUUGGGGUGUCAAGAGUUUGAUAACCUUUUGCAUUGUUGUUUCCUUGAUGCGGUGGAAAUAUCUGAAUGUUCGCAGAUGGGCCUGACGAGCAGUAAACAAACAACAUUCAAUAAAAAAAGUAAAAAAAAAAGUUUCAAAACGGAAACUAGCAAAAAGAAAAAGAACACACCUUCGUUUACGCUUGCUGUAUGUACAUUUGUGCUUUUGUUGUCGUCGCUGAUCACAGCCUGACCCAAUAAAAAAAAUAAUAAUCUUAGCAGAGUUUAAUCGAAGCUAAUCAUAAUGCAAAGUUUCAAAAUUUAGCAUCCUAAUCAAAUAACAAAUCGGAGAAACGACGGAUGUGUUUUAUAGACUUACGGGAACUGAACCAAUCAAAUGGCUAGUCUCUAGAUUAGCGAACGACUCAUCCAUCAGAAAGCUUUACUGACCUAUUCUUUAUCUCAUCCAAACAAAAAAAAAAUCGAUCAGAUCGGUAGAAUAAAGAGAUCGUCCCUUCCCUUUCUCUGAUGAGUUUCUCAGUUUGCUUCUCUCCUCCUCCUCCGUCGUCGUGGGAAAGGAAGACGCGCGCGCUUUUUCAGCAACUGAGUCACACGCGUGCGUCUUUUUACUAAUUGACGUGGCCCAUAUAGUUAAAACAAACACGGCCCAUUUACAAAAAUUACAUGGGCCAUAACCCGAAUAGAUCCGACCCGAUAACCCACACAGUGUGUUCUUCCCUCUCGAAGAAAACCAAAACGGAGCAGCCCUAGACUGACACUCGCCUCCAUUUCCUCUGCUCGUUUCGCUAUCGGAGAAGAUGGACACGAACGGCUCCGCCUCCGCCUCCGCCUCCGCCUCCGCCUCCGCCGAGAGAUCGAUGAAUCUCCCUCCGCAACAUCCUGAUUACGCUAGCAAACCUGUUCAGGUACUCUCGAUUUCUCCUUCUCUUCGCGAGUUUUGAGCUUAUCCAAGGCCUUAGGUGAUUUUAGCAGCUGAUUAGCUUCUUCUUCAAGGUGAUUACUAGCCUUGGCUAGUGCUUAAUUUUAACUUUCGAUUCUUCAGGAGGCGUUGAUGCAUUUGGCAUCCACCAACCUCAGAGAUCUGUGUAACGAGGCGAAAGCUGAGCGUUGCCGUGCCACCAGAGACUUGACGAGCUGUGGGAGAUCUGUGCGCUAUGCGUUGAAUCCGUGUGGGCAUGCUUCAUUGUGCAGAGAGUGUUGUGAGAGGUUUGAUCUUUGUCCAAUCUGUAGAAGUACACUACCAAGAUCUGGAGAUAAGCUUCGGCUUCGUCUCUACUAUGAGUGUGUUGAAGCUGGUUUAAUCUCCGGAACACCUGAAGAUGCAUCACAGGAUGAAGAUGAGGAUGGUGUUCAUCGCCUUUAUUCUCUGUUCGAUGUUGCCUUGAACAAUAAUUUGAUAUCUGUGGUUUGCUAUUGUAUCCUUUCUGCUGCAUUUAUGCAUUUAAGUGUUUAGUUGAUAAUGUCGUGAUAAUGGAAUUGUACUGAUAGGUUUAUGUAAUUUUAGGUAGUUUUUUUUUUCCAUGCCCCCUCUCUGAUGGAUGAAGUGUGCAUAGUGUUAUUUUCAUUCUUCGAUUGCUCGAUGUAUUGUUGAGUUGUCCUUGACAGAAAAUGAAUAGAUAUCACCAAUGUUUGUAUGGAUGAGGCAGCUGUAUCUAGUGACCCGGUCAUUGCUUUCUUGCUGGAUGAAGUUGUUGUCAAAGACUGGGUCAAGCGUACAUUCAGGAGCAUCUUAGCUGGGCUUCAAGAAAUCUGUAUCCUUUUUAGCUGUUAAGAGUAUUUAUAUGUGACUUAGGCUCAGUAUAUGUGUGUGUGGUCUGUCUAUCUUUAAUAUUGGUUCUCAGAUAGUCUUGAAACGAAGGAGAUGCAAGGGUGGUUAGAUAAACUCCUGAAGUAUUCGAAACAAGUGGCUGGCAUAUGUAGUGUGCUUGAAGUUAUGGAGUCAGCUUUUAAGGGUUCUGUUUCACCUCAGCUUCAAGACGUGGAGAAGCUUAAGGAUAACAUUGGAAAAACAAAGCAGGUCAGCUAAGAUGUUAUUUAUAUUAAAACAAAUCAACUCUCUUUAGUCUUUACUUAUCCAGUGAUGACCGUCUGGCUCCUGACCAGAGAGUGUUUUAGCUUUUUACUUAUUGAUGCAAGAUCUAGGAGCUUAUUGUGUGCUUACCCUGUUGGUGUUUUUUUAUUUCAGCAUCUGGACAUUAUGAUCUGGUGCAUAAGACACGGAUUUCUGCAUGAUGUGAAGUCUCGGUAUUCUAAUUUCACAUCGUGGAAGGCUCUGGUGCUCGAAAGGAAAUCAAAUGCAAUUAAGCGUGCAUGGCCUGAUGCCGUAGAUCAGUCUUCAGAUUGCUGUGUACAGGGUGCUUCCCUUUUUAUCGAGGAUGCUUUGGAAAAUCUUGAGAGAGAGCCAGAGUACAGUCAAGACAUAGGGGCAGACCUAGGAGUUGGAUGUUUGCAGAACGAUGAAAGAUCAUUCCUUAGGUCCAGAAUAGAGGGAACUUCAGGAUCUUACCCAUUUGAGAAUCUUAGAACAGCUGCUGAUAAACUCUUUUUACAUGGCAGCUCAGAUUUGGUUGUUGCAAAGCAAGCCAUUGUAUCCUUUUCUCAUCACCUAAUUCAUAUUACCUUAAUUUACCUUUUAAGCAUCACACUCAGUACGCCUUCCUAUGUUUUUCUUCUUUGUUGGCUUCCUUAACCAGUAUAUAGUUUCUUUAUUACUUGUUUGAUCGGCACUGGACUACCCCUGAAGAACAUUGGAAGCACAUUGUAGAUGAUUUUGCUGCUACCUUCGGCAUAACCAGGCAUUCAUUGUUGGAGUCUUUUGUAUUUUAUCUUCUUGAUGAUCCCUCAGAAGAGGCACUCCAGGUACCUUUUGACAUUCCCAUGGAAAAAACAUAUAGAAAUAUGUAUUAUUGUAGAUGUUUUAAUAUUCUGGCUAAAACAUAUAUAGCCAAAUACAUCAAAUAUUUGUAAGCUGGUGACGCUCACAAACUUCACCAAAUUUUAUUUCAGGAAGCUUGUAGAACUCUUCCUGAAAUAUGUGGUCCAGAAACAUAUCCCAAGGUUGCACAAGUCUUGUUAGAAAGGGAAAAUCCUGAAGCAGCUCUUUUGGUCUUGCGUUGGUCUGGUCGUGAUGGCGCAUCAGAACUGGUUUCAAUUGGUGAAGCUGUCACAGCUGUUCGUGUGAGAGUGGAAUGUGGUCUUUUGAGUGAGGCAUUCACAUACCAAAGGACUCUCUGCCUGAAAGUGAAGGAAAAUGAAUUGAAAAAUGGAGCUGUAAAACAUGUGUCUGAUGAUGGAGGAGACAGCUUGAGUUGGACGGAAUGGAUGGAGAUACUUGUCAACGAAUUUUGCUGUCUGUCUAUUAGGAGAAACGUGGUUGAUCGAAUCAUUGAGUUGCCGUGGAACCCAGAUGAAGAGAAAUAUCUGCACAGAUGCUUAUUAGAUUCUGCAACUGAUGACCCCUCAUCAGCUGUGGGUAGUCUUUUGGUUGUCUUCUAUCUUCAGGUAAGUCAUCACAUAUUCAUGCUUAAAUCAUCUUCACUUGAACAUAGUCUUAAAAUAGUUGUUAGCCCGAGAGUAGCUUUAGAAAAGUCAAAUAAAUAUCAAGACUCAGAGCUGUAAUCUACAUAUAUUGUUUGGAAUAGAUGGAAAUUUUAGUAAGAGAUUAAUUAGCCCAUCCAAGAUCCAACUAGAUACAUGUAUAUUCUCUCUCACUCUCUGGUAUGUGCUAUAUGGGCUUCAGUGUUCUUUUAUUAUUCGAGCUUGUUGUAGUCUGAGAUAUUGAGAGUAAUGAACAAGUAUGAAAUCAUUUGAACAACCAGGCAAAAUGCAUUACUAUUAAACGUUCUGUAAAUUCUGUCUUGUGUAUAUGGUUUGCUAUUUUUGGUCCGUCGUUAACUGGAAACUACUUGUUGUUUGCAUUGCUGCAGCGCUACCGUUACAUCCAUGCGUACCAAGUCGAUCUUAGGCUCCAGAAAAUUGAAGAGGCUUUCUUAUCCGAAAAUCGAAUUGGGGAAGAAGUAAUGUCCAGAAUGCAAUCACAGAGUCAUUGGAGGAAAGAGUUAAUUGUAAGUAUUCUAGCCACCUUUCCAUGAGCAAGUGCCGUUUCCUUUCUCUUUUCCUGGUUAAAUACUGCAGACUCAAAUUUUCAGCUUGCGUUUUAGUACUUAGUAGCCUCUUGGUGCUCGCAGGAUUCUGAUAUUUCUGAAUCUUGAAUGUGCAAUGAUACGUUAUAUUAUUUAUUUAAACCCUCCCGUGUUACUGUUGGUUUCAACAGGAUAAAGCCAUAGAUAUACUACCAGCAAUACAGCAGCAGCAAGUCAGAUCUGGUCAGUUUUCUGAGAUGGAAGAUACCUCCGAAAGUGCUUAUGAAGCAGCGACAAACACUGAUCUUCCAGAAGCAAAACAAUCAAGUGUUCCCGUUUCCACUAAUUCUGUAUUUCUCCAACGGGCUAAGGACGGUGGCGCUAGAGUGCCAGUGGCUAAUAACGCCAGCAGUCCUUUUCAACCCAGUCGUUUGAUAGGUUCCGCUUCCAUUGAUAUCUCCCAUGGAAAGCUAUUUACAAGCGCAAAUAGAGGACAGAAGAGUGAAGUCAGAAGCAUAACCAAGACUCUGAAAUUCGGUGAAGCGUCCACACCGUUCAAAGAUCUUAACAGAGCUCGUGGGAACAGCAAGCACAAGGGAAGAAGGACUGAAGACACAUCUCCAGAAAUAAACGUUGAUAGAUUCAUGGACUCUCCUUAUCUCACAGCUAAUAAUCCCGUAACAAUGGAACCUCGCAGUCGCAGCAAGCAUCUCAAUGGAUCUGCACAGAAACCGGAAUCCACUUUCUUUGGCGUAAGAAUGCAACAAGAUAGAGAACACCCGAGCCAUUUGGAUGAUCCAAUGGACAUGUCUUCAAGGUACAUUUCCUCUUUUCUAUAUAAACUAUACUGUGUUACCCUUUGGUUUGCGUAAGAAGUUCGGUUCAGUUCUUGUCUGAUCUCUUUAUAUAUUCAUGAAUGGUAGCUUGAAGAACAACAACAAUGUAUUGGCCACGGAGAGCAGAAAUAAAAGUGGAGGAUUAAGGUGGCGAUCAGAUGAAGGAAGCGAUGAGAAAAGUGAACCGAUGUGGGGCAUGGAGCCGACUAGUUCCGGUUCCAUGCCGGUUAAGGGAAGGAGGACACGUAGAUUCACUGCAAGAUGAAAUGAAACAAAACAAAAAACAUCAUCAAUUGCCUUUAGCAUACAGAGAUCAAAUGUUGUAAAGAAGCAUUAGAGAGCUUUGUUUUUCUGUUUUUGUUUGUGCUGGGAAAAAAUGAUUUUGUGUUUUAUGUUAUCCCUGCGGAGAUUUUGAAUUAUCAUUUUGAAACUUGGAAAUAAAACCCUUUUUGUUAUUAGUAUUCAGUAAUUAUUUUUAUAAAUCUCAUUUAGUCGUCCAUUCUCUGUCUGAACACUAAAGUGUGUAACUCUUGGAAUGAAGCAACACCUUAUAGCAUUUUUUAUUUCAAAAAUAUGUAACACUGAAAUAGAGUUAGAGUUUUACUCUAAUGUAUUACUCUAUUUUUUACUCCAAAAAUAUAUUUUAAAAUAAUUUCAUUUUUAUUUAAUUAAUAAUUGUUAAUAAUAUAUCUUACUUAUAAAAAUUUACCAAUUAGUCGUCCAUCUCGGUCUUCUCAGAUUAACUUUCUGCAGUUUUUUUUAUUUUCCUAUCUUUUUUUGGGAUUUUACAUGAUCUUCAUCUGCCCGUUGAAAGCACAUAGUUGGUUUGUGUACAUGCAUAAGAUUUGUCUCUUGGACAGCAAAUGAAAUGAUGAUUAACAUAUAUAAAAAAAAAUUAGUAAUAUGAGCGUUAGCUCUUAAGCUGCAUGUGAAAGUGGAAGAGUAUAGAGCAUAUGAAGGUCUCCAAUAAUCAACAUCAAAAACCGAGUGAGCAUCUUUUUUUUUGUUCAAAUCGAGUGAGCAUCUAAAUUACAAAAGAAUAAGUCUCAGUCUUGGUCAUGUGAGGUAACAGACGAACGUGAGCUAACUGACAUUGACCAAGAAGUCUCCACUCGUCUUUGUAUGAUCGUGUGUGAAGUGUUACAAGAAAUGCGCACUCUUGGGAACAAGUAAAAAAAAAUAUAAAAUUUUAUUAAUGCAAAUAGAAAAAAGGAAAGCUGCAUGACCCAUGCAACAUAUCUGAAUACAGUGCUUUCAAAUGUUUGAAUUCGAACUGAUCCUCUGGUCUGGUAUACGUGUAAGAUUCUUUUUCAAAGAUAAGAAAAGGAGCAAGUGGUUCUUGUUAAGCUCUAGGGAAACACAUGGAACACUAAAAAGUUUCAUCUCUUUUUGUUUUAUACUGUUUAUACUGUUAUCUAUUAAUUUUGCGUUGUCUUAAUUCUGUAUAUCCCAGAAUACACAUUCAUUGGUUUCGUCCAGAUAUCUUAUGUUUAAUAAGUCUUAGAUUAACCCUCAAGGCAAAAGGCCAAAAACACAUACUAAGUUUCGGAAUUACCCAAUCAAGGUCUUAGUGGAACUCAAUCUUCAUUUUCAACCAAGAAGACAAGAAUGAUGGGUGGUCAAGCUAUGACAAAUAGACGACUAGUUAUCAAAAUUUCACUAAGUGUUAAUAGUUUCUUUAAGGUUCGAUCCUACAUCGACUUAUCACAUCCACGAAGUUAAAGUAUUCAAAUUAUAGUGGAAUAGCGAAAGAAAACUACACAUGCAACCAAGAAAACUAAACUAAUAUAUUGGGAAACAAAUCUAUGAAUUUUGGAACCGUUUAGGUCUAAUAUUAGAUAUGCAUAUAGAUGUAAAUUAUUAUGAGUUAACUCAUUCACAAUUUUGUAUCAUGGCAAAAAAAACAAAUUUUGUAUCAUAACAACAAAUUAUAUGAAAGCUGAUAUGAGAUAUUAGCUUUUGACAUAAAAUAAUAGAGGUUUUUUAAUUGUAAAUAAUUGGUGAGAAUAUGAACUUACUAUAAAGUAUGCAAAAGCAUUAACAUACCCAAGUGGGAAUAUUACUUAUAACUGCAAUUACACUGAGGAAUCGUAAUUCCAAAAGAGAUUAAUGUUCAAUGGAUCUAACCAUCUUAGCCAUAUGAUUUUUUUUUUUUUGCAAUGUCAACUAAACAUAAGAGAUCCAAACGGUAUACUUGUCCAAGAUUGGGGAGCAGAGAGCAUUUGCAGCUAAUUAACAGCUUCUUAAACCCUCAAGCUAUGGCUCUCCUUAACUCAUAGAGGAUCCAAUCCUCUUUUCAAAAGGCUGCCCUCUCUCUCAUCUCUAAUGUAUAUCUCUAUCUCUAAGUCUUUUUUGACAUUCGUGAUGUCAAUGGUGACCAUUAGUUGAGAAAGUUACAAAUGGAUGAUCAUGAUGAUGGUGAACAUGCAUGUCAUGAGUUCCUCAAGUCCCAUGAAGGACACGUAUAAACACACUUUUUCGCAUUCAAUCUUUUUAUAUGUUUCUUUUUUGCAGUCGAAUUAUUCCUUGCGUGAGAGGAGUCUAUACCAUUAAUUUUCACUUUGAUUUAAUUUGCAUUAUUGUACUGAUAACUCCAAGUGGUUGUUAGAUACAGUUAGAACCGGUCGUCGUGUUCUGUAUCUUUGCAGAUAAUGUUUCAAAACGCAUACUCAAACAAAUAACCGUUUCAAAAGAAUAUUAGGACAGAUACCCAUCACACGUAUUGACAUAAUUAUGUUCUAUCGGUUAGGUUCUGUUUGAUAGAUUCACAACGUUUAUUCUUUGUAUGGCCUUAUUAUUCUUUCUAUCUCCGUGAAAUGCUAUAUAUGACUUUGUAACAUUUACUUUGCAUUUUCUAUUCAUUACCAAAAUGGAUGCUAAUUAAGUUGCUAACUUAAAAUUCCUCAUUGUCAUUAUUUUAUACCAAAAUGCAUGUUAUUAGGUUUCAAUUUGGAAUGUGAUACCAAAAUGCAUUUUCUAUUCAUUACCAUAAUGAAUAGAAAAUGCAUUUUGGUAUACCCUAAACCCUAAACUCUAAAUCCUAAACCCAAAUCCUAAACCCUAAACCCAAACCGUAAACCGUAAACCCAAACCCUAUAUCCUAAACCCAAAUCAUAGACUAUAAACUCAAACCAUAUAUGCAAACCUAAUCCCUACACCCUAAACUCAAAUCGUAAACCCUGAACCCAAAUCCUAUAUCCUAAAAGUUUGGGUUAAUGUUGAUGUUGUUUCUUUAGGGUUUAAGAUUUGGGUUUAGAGUCUAAGUUUGGGUUUAGGAUCUAGGGUUUGAGUUUAAGGUCUAGAGUUUGGGUUUAGAGUUUACGGUUUGAGUUUAGGAUUUGGGUUUAAGAUAUAGGGUUUGGGUUUAGGGUUUAGAGUUUGAGUUUAGAAUUUAGAGUUUAGGGUUUAAAUUAAAGGUUUAGGGUUUAGAAUUUAAGAUUUAGGGUUUAGUUAGUGGUGUUAGCGUCAUUAAAAUGAGCGUCAUUAUUUUUAUCAAUUAUUUUAGAUUUUUUUAAAAAAAUAUAUAUAUUUUAUUAUUAAUCUAUGUGGCAUUUUGAUUGGUAAUAAGAAGGGAUGUGAAUUUAAAAGUUCACCUCAGGGGUGAACCUAAGUUUUGUUCAUCUCAUAAGAAAUGGUUAACUUGGUUCAUACUUCUAAAGUUUAGCUAUAUAUAUACCACUUAUUAGGGGGCGAACCUCCAACCAAUAGGAUUGUGUUAUUUCAUAUUUGAUAUCUUUUAAAAAAAGAAACAAAAUAUUAUCAAAUUAUAUUAUCUUUUUAAAAUUAAAAGCUAAAAAGAAAUAAAUAAAAAAUAGUAGUAAUUACAAAAAAAAAUAUUUUUAACGUCGUUAGCAAAACAUUAAACCCUAAAUCCUAAUCCCUAAACUCUAAAUCCUAAACCCUAAAUCCUUGGGUAAACCCUAAACUCUAGGAUAAAUCUUAAACUCUAAAUCAAAAUCACUAAACACUAAAACACUCAAGGGUUUAGGGUUUAGAGUUAUAGGGUUUAGUAUUUUUAUUUAGAGUUUAUGAUUUAUCCAAGGGUUUAGGGUUUACCCCAAGGGUUUAGAGUUUACCCAAGGGUUUAGGGUUUACCGAAAGGUUUAGGGUUCACCCAAGGGUUUAGGGUUUAAAAUUUAGGGUUUAGGGAUUAGGAUUUAUGGUUUAGUGUUUUGCUGACGACGUUAAAAAGAUUUUUUUUAAUUUUUUUUUCUGUAACUACUAUUUUUGUUUACUUUUUUAUUUUAAAAUCAUAAUAUAACUUGACAAUAUUUUGUUUUCUUUUUUAAAAGAUAUCGAAUUUGAAAUAACGAAAAGAGUAAUAUAAAAUUCUGAAAAUGGUUUCUAUAUCGUCAAAGUGGCCAAGUGUUUUAGUAAUGUCUAUAAAUAAGCAUAUAAGAGAGUGAGUAAAUAACAUACCACGGAACACAAGCAACUUCUCUUGUUUCUUUCCCUUCUCUUUGAACACAUUUCCCUUAGCUACUACAUAAAGGACUAACCCUUUAACAUAUAACAACAAGUACACCACAUAAAGUUGAAAAAAAGCGGUUCAUGGACAAGAAAAAGUCAGUAUCAGGUUCCUCCUCAUCCUCAUCUUUCGAUCAUCUUUUUGGUCCAAGAGUCUCUUCCUCGUCUUCUUCAUCAACAACAGGGUUGUUCCAAUCCAUUUUCCCACCACCCUCAAUGGUAUUAAUCAGUAUCAUCAUCAUCAUCAUUUGAAAAGCAUAAAUUGUAUUCUUAUAUAUACUUUAUUUGUUCUCAACUCAAGGGGACGCAAGCGGACUUGGCAAAUCCAAAUGGAGCGGCUAUAUAUCAACCUCCAGGUUUGGGGAUUCCAAGUGAGUCUAUUCACUAUUGGUGACUCUAAUUAACAUAAUGUUUAAAGUGAGAAAUUUAAAUGGGAUUACAGAUGAAAGAGGAGAAAGGAGAAAAAACAAGGAGAGAAAGCGUUACCAAAAUGAAGAAACACAACCACCAUGCAACUUGAGCUCAUCCAUAUAUUAUGGAGGCCAAGAUAACUAUUCCUCCUCAACACCACCACAAUCAACAACCAAUCCAGAUGUUGUAAGUGCUUCUUUAAUACCAAAAUCAGUUGUGCUGCAUAUUGAUGAAAACACUAGCUAGUACUCGAAUUAUCACACACUUCCAUAUAAAAGCUUUGUUUAGACAGAAUUGAAUAUUAGCUUAACUAAACACGUAUGAGUGAGUGUAUUUAGGGUAUCUAGCUAAGUUCAUUCGGAUAUAUCAUUCUAUAUAUGUACUUUGAUUUUAACUCUAAACUCAGCUCAUUCUGAAUUAUCCAGUAUAAGAAAGAUGGAGACGAAGGCGAUUCUGAAAGUGCUUCAAGAGGAAAUUGGUGGGAGGGUAAGAUUGCAAACAUUUUGUAAUAUAUAAACAGCAGCUUCACUUUUUCUCAUUAAUAUUUUUACAUAUUUUCUCAUCCUGUAUAUUAAACUCACCUAUACAUAAUCAAACUGUGCAGGAUCGCUUUAUUACUAGUUAUCAAUCAUAGCCGAGAUGCAAUAUAAGCAAAGGUACAAGACGACUGAUUUUCUUGCUUGAAAUUUAUAUUGACAAAAUCAAUGUCCUCAUCAGGUUUUUCCAUUAGUGAUAUGUUUUGAUACAGAUUACGUGAUCAGUUUGCAGGAACCUUAAUCAAGUGAAGUAAGAUGGAAGUUGACGUUCUGAAAUAUACCUAGAAAAAAAAAAAAAUAUAUAUAUAUAUAUAUACAUACAUAAACUAAAGCAGUAAUGUAAGAGUAUAUACAGCUGGCUUAAAAGAAAGCGAGAAAAAAAUAAUUCUCAUAUAGUAUCUAGUGUGUAUUAUAGUUUAACAUGAAAUUAACGUUUAUGAAAAAGUCUUUGUAUUUAGUUUGAUAUGGACUCCAGUAUAUCACGAUGCCAUGCUGCUUCGCAUGGAAUUAUAUUAUGUCAUAGUAACAAUGUCAUAAGAAGGACCAACUAAACGCUCAGUCCAACAGUUUACAUUUUGGGCCUGUAAUGAAAAAAAGGUAGAAAAAGGCAGAACAGUAAGAAUGGAACAAAAAAAUGCGCCGUUGCCGGUAUUCGAACCCGGGUCACCCGCGUGACAGGCGGGAAUACUUACCACUAUACUACAACGACUUUUAUUGAUUAAAGUUCUACACGAUUAUAUAUCACAUAUAUUUCAUCUUAACAUGUUCAUACAAAACAAUGCUCUCACUAUGUUUUGUUAGAGCAAGCGCAACGGUGAGACUCAUUGGAGUUCUUAGCGACAAGGGCAUUUCGGAUUAAUCCUGGAUAUUUUGGAUUUAAAAAAAUAAAAUAAAAAAUGACCAUUCACGGACCGCCACGUAGUCGUGGGGACUCACAAAUAGUGCAAGGAUUCACUAAGAAAGAGUCAUUAUUUAGGAAUUUUAAGGAUUGAAUCCUUAGCUUUUGGUAGAGUCCACUAAUUAUUUAAUUACUUUUUCCCUAAGGACUUCUACUUAACGAUUCUCGUUGCGCAUGCUCUUAGUUGAUAACAUAAAAAAAAUAAAAGGAUUUUUUUGGAUUUACUUUCAAGCAUAUUUCAACAAGAAAAGUUAAAACUAUGAUAUUUUGCUCGGGUCUGUAAAAUACAUUGUAAACUUUGUCAAUUAAUUAUUUAUUGUUGCAAACCAUUUCAAAUUUUUCUGACUUGUAUGGAAAAGAGAAUGUUUUUGUGUUCACGUACCUUUUGCAAAAAAAAAAAAAAAAAAAAAAAAAAAAAAAAUAAUUCUCAUAUAGUAUCUAGUGUGUAUUAUAGUUUAACAUGAAAUUAACGUUUAUGAAAAAGUCUUUGUAUUUAGUUUGAUAUGGACUCCAGUAUAUCACGAUGCCAUGCUGCUUCGCAUGGAAUUAUAUUAUGUCAUAGUAACAAUGUCAUAAGAAGGACCAAACUAAACGUUCAGUCCAACAGUUUACAUUUUGGGCCUGUAAUGAAAAAAAGGUAGAAAAAGGCAGAACAGCAAGAAUGGAACAAAAAAAAGCGCCGUUGCCGGGGAUCGAACCCGGGUCACCCGCGUGACAGGCGGGAAUACUUACCACUAUACUACAACGACUUUUGUUGAUUAAAGUUCAACAAAAUUAUAUAUAUCACAUAUAUUUCAUCUUAACAUGUUGAAACAAAACAAUGCUCCCACUAUGUUUUGUUAGUUGAUAACAUCAAAAAAUAAAAGGAAUUAUUUGGAUUUACUUUCAAGCAUAUUACAACAAGAAAAGUUAAAACUAUGUUAUUUUGCUCGGGUCUGCAAAAUACAUUGUAAACUUUGUCAAUUGAUUAUUUAUUGUUGCAAACCAUUUCAAAUUUUUCUGACUUGUCUGGAAAAGAGAAUGUUUUUGUGUUCAAGUUCCUUUUGCAAAAAAAAAAAAAAAAUCUGGUACAAACAUUAAAACUGCAAAGAAUAUGAAACAAUCUAAAAGCUUCACCAAAUUUUAAAAACUACAAAAUAGUUUAAUUGUGAUUAAAAAUUUAAAAAGAUGAUCAAUUUAACAGAUACCGGGCACCUUUUUUUUGAAUAAUAUCGGUCACCUUUAAAUUGAUCAUCUUUUCAAAUUUUUAAUCACAAUUAACGAUCGCUGGUAUAGACUACAACAUGCGUUUACCUAAUCUUUUCAAAUUAUGUUCACUGGUAUGAAUCAGAGAUUUGAGGAUUAGGUAAACGCAUGUUGUAGUCUAUCUAACGAUGGGCCGAAUCCGCUUGAGUCACUUAUCCGUAAGGCAUAACUGAUUUGAAAAUCUGCCAAAUAUGCAAAUACAAAAAGAAUGUUAUUAUAUUAAGGAACAAAUGAAAACAAAGACUCUUUCGAAGAUUAAUGUUUCCGAGGUUUUGACCAUUGACGGUUCAAACUAGCUAGUGCUAUAGCGCUAUUGGUAUUGCUCAACACAUACUACUUUCUAUGUCGCACGUGCUGCGCUCGUGAGUAACAGUGUACACCACACAUGCUAUGUGAUAAAACAGUUGGCGUCUCACGUGCUAUAGCAUUGCAUAACCGAGUAAACGAGAAAGAAUCAUUCCUUUUGCAUGUGGACAGAUAAUUUUGGGCCACUCCCUUUGCUUUGAGAGUUUCCAAACUCAAGAAUCUAGGUCUUAUCUUUUGUUUUUCUUGUUCCUUCCGUUGAUUGUUUUUAGAUAACCAUGAUAUAUUAAGAGAUUAACCUUGAAAAAGUGUAAAUGUUAAUAAGGAUUUGUAAAUGUUCAUAUACAUUUCUUUAGGGCUGGAGAUGUAGGUAAUACACGUCGAGUUGAGUCGAUUAUCACUCAUUUCCUUUUGAUAUUUUGAUGUAUUAUAAGAAUAUUUAAAUUAAAGUUGCUUUUAGUUUCCUCGGUCGUCAUUAGAUCUAGUGGAAACUGGAUCGUAGAAUUUGAGAUCAUGCCAAAGGAGAUUGCUGAUAUCAUAUUUUUAUGUAUUGAUCUUUUUCUAUGGUUAAUUCUCGAAGACGCAAUGUAUUGAAAUUAUAUUUGGAUAUUUUCGUAUAAAAUUAUUUUAAAAAGCAGUGUAAAAGAGGUAGUUAACUUAAAGCUCACGAGAUCCAAAUGCGGGCGAACGUUGGAACAGCUAAAUCCACGUCUAAGAUGACAAGGCUUAUGAUUACAAAUAUGGUCAGCAAAUAUUCUCUUCCUAUGCAAUUUAUUCAAUAUUAUUAAUUUAUUUGUCUCCCUCCUAAGCUUGUUCAAAAUCUAUCCGCCUGGCUAUAAUAAUCUUAACCUAACAUCCAUUUUGAAACUUAACAGAAAGUUGACUCCAAUUUUCUUACAUCGAAUAAGUCUGAUAAUAUACUCACGUAGAUGGUAUUACAUCGAAAGCAUAGACACUUCUGAAACUAAAAUUAAUUCUCCAAAUUGUCGAUGUGUUGUAGAGACUACCGAAUUACCGAUGAGAGAAACUUUAAACUGCCUAAUAAUGAAUACCACCCGUGUGGUGCGGCCAAAUCCGCAAAUCUCCAAUGCAUAUCAAUUAACAGAGUCUACAAUGUUACUUAGCAAACAAUUCAAACUCAAGCAAAAUAUCAACUUCGCUACUUUCCUUUGUAACUAUUCUUAAAUAACGCCAAUCAAAAGCGUAUAAAAUGCAUUACAAAAUAAUAUAAGUUUUAACAAAAUUUAGCAAAAAAAAACAAAAUAAAUGCCAAACUGAAGAUAUCUUUUAAAUAAUCUUUAUUAGAAAAUUGAUACUAGAGUAUAGAUAAAGAAAAUGUUGAGGGUUCAUGUGGAUAUAUAUUUUUUGUGAAUCAAGAUCAAAUGAAUAUGCUCUUUAUUUCAAAACCAAAUAGUUGGCUCUAGUCUAAUUGACUAACUGCAAAGAAAAAAAAGAAAGAUUUCGUGAAGUCUCUUCGAUGAGCUACAAAUAAACAGGAAGAAGCCCUUUCGACUUAAGGGAGGGUAAUAGGUUGAGUAACAAGACGUUAUCCGAUCAAGGUUAGGUGAUAGAGGCAGUAGUCAACCCAAAAGAUUGACAGAUUGUAUUACUUAUGAAGGAAAGAGACUUCACAUUUGAGUUAUAUCUUUCUGUCACUAUUUAUCCUUAUAGGCUUUCGGUGGGAAAUUCGAAUGAUAAGUUUGACAUGAGAUUUAUAGAUUUUCUUUGGUUUGGUUCUUGUUUAGUCCACUCCAUUUAUUAUUUAUAUCUCUAUUAUCAACCCAAAUCAAAAUUCGGUACAAUGUAAGUUACCCCAACCAUUCAUCUGCUCUUAUUAUUCUUAUUCAAUUUUUAUUCUACAAAAAAUUACUUGUUUUUUGGUAAUGGUUUGUAGAAUGAAGGCAAAGAGAAAGACAGCUAUUGUAAAGCAUAUGCUGGCAGACACAACCCACCUUCAGUUGCCUCCCCGCACGCGCUCUUCCUCUUGUGUGUAACCCAAUUCCCUUAAGCUCUGCUGAUCUGCUCUCUGCCCAUAAUUUUUUAGUAAAGACCAAUCUGAUUAAUCCCGUCGUGAAUUACGGAAUAAAAAUGGAUUCCACCGCACUUUCUCUUGUUCUUAUUACAAUAUCAGCACAGCUUUCUCAAACAUUAUUUAAAGAAACAGAUUUGCAUAAACGCAUUAACGAAGUUUAUAAUAUUAUUGUGGGUGGGGCUCUUAGUUUUUAAUAGUAGCAUGAUAAUAAUAUAAGUCAGACAUUUGAGAGUAGAGUCCGGAGACAAUAUAUGCAACUAGGGGCGCACAAUAUUUGGCAUAGCAUAUUAGUUCUCUUAAACUAUAACUUUUUAGAGUUUCUUUCGUUUAAAAAUGCUGUUUAUGUUUUCUUGCUUCUAUACAUAUUCCAAAGAUAAGAAAAUAAAAAGAAAGAAGAGAAGGAAGAUCUGUUCCCGCUCUUUUGACUUAACGGUGCUGUCCUUUUCGGUAGGUAAAAGCUGGACCCCACCACCAUUUCACUUCUGUCUUUUUCAUUUUUUAUUAUGUCUCCAUAAAAUAUCUAGGGCGGGAGAUUUAUACAGUUUUAUACAAAACGUCAGACGGAGAAGGAGAGGGACGGAUGACUGAUUAAAAGCUGAAAGUACCACGUCAGCUGUAUUCAAAUUUCCUGAGUGGUCGCGAGAUUUCUAUGAACCUAAUUUCAAAAUCAAAUAAUGAAAGAAUACAAACCUACAUAAUAGGGGCCUUCAGUGGUUACCAAAAAGAAAACCGAUUAACCCUUGGUACUUAAUCAUGUGCCGGUUUGGUUAUAGGAAGUUAGUUGCAAUUAGCGCAAUUAUUUAAAUGUGUGUCAAAUAUACUUAAUGCAGCGUAACUAUUCAGUAGUAAAUGUAAUUAUAAUUAAUGGGGGAAAAGCAGGUAGUGAAGAGGAGAAAAUAUGAGAGCGCAAAUGAUGAGAAGGAUUUGCAUGAAAAAAAGAGAGGAAGGCGUAAUCAUGAAGUGUUCUAUGCUUUUUAUUAGCCCACAUACUCAAUACUUGCUAUUUUAGAUUUCGGCCGACCGAUUAAGAAAAUAUUUAAUUUUGUAUAUUUACUAAAUAAAAACAUCAUUAUCAAUACAUCUAAUCACAUUUUAACUAAUUAAAAAUAAAUAAAAAUAUAAAAUCAAUAAAUUUUGCAUUGAAAUUAUAAAACAACACUGAUUUUGAAAUAAAAAUUUUAUCUUACAACGACAAGUAAUCAAACGGAGGGAGUAAUAUACUUUUUAAUAUAAAUAGAUAUACUACUACAAAGACUGAGAUUUUGUUAAGAGGGUAAUUAAAAAGAUUACAAGACCCAUGAAGCCGUAAAUGACAGCUUAACUGGGAUUAAGUGGGUUCCACCUGUUUUCUGAUGCAUGCCUCGUGCCAAUGCCAUACACAAUAUACUUAACAAGUGUAUAGUAAAAUAAUAAAAAAAUGUUUAUAGAAAAUGAAAGAAAUCAUGUCUCGCAAAUUCUAUUAUGGGCCUGAGGCCAUAAAAACCUUUCCUUUGUUAUGUACCUUUUAAGUUUUUUAAUGAAAGUAUCCAGUUUUCCCAAAAAAAAAAAAAAAUUAAAGAAAAAGACAUAGAUACAUACAUACAUACAUACAUAAAAACUAAAAUCGUACUCCUAAAACAAAUAUUUUUUCUUUUGAAAAAAUUACAGCACAAUAAAUUAUUUUUUUUUCCAAGGCAAAAUAUUUAAAGAAAGACCAAAGGACAUAGUAGUUUUGAAUUUCGUCCAUCACGCAUUAAUUAAGGAUAAUUAAAAAUAAAAUAAAAAGAAGAAGAUAGAGAUAUUAAAGUGCUUUUGAGCUGUCUUAAUAGAAACCCUGAAACCUUAAUAAAAGCAACCACCUCCUCAACAUUCUCCAUCUUCUUCCAUCACUCUCUCCCUCUCUCUCUCUAUCUCGCUUAUCUUUGCUCUUUGUCGAUAUGUCUCGCCUCCCUCCACUUUCCCUCCCUGUCAUGGAGAAUACCCCUGCUUCCGAGCUAACCCCGACUCGACUCGGUUUCCCCACCGAGUUCCCUUACGAGUUCGACUCCCCUGCUUUCACCUCUCCCGGCGACUCCACCGACGAGAGCAGCGACGACGAGGAAGACUUCCUCGCUGGCCUCUCUCGCCGACUCGCUCCCUCGACUCAGCGCCUCCCUCCUCCCUCCUACGAGGUGAAACGUAAGGUCGCAGCUACUUCGCCGCAGUCAACGCUGAGCGGACUCGGAAGCUACUCAACCUCGGGAAGUAGAAGCCCUGUUCUUCCUCCACCUUCUCAAACGACGUCGUUUCCUAGAGACGACGUCUUGGAUGUGAUCUCUGCCGCAGCUGGAGAAGUAGCGAGACUCAAACUCGGAAGCCACGAGCCUCACCACCUUCCCCGCCAAAACGCUGCGUUUCAGACCGACCGCUGUAUCCAGCAGCAGCGUCUGCUUCUUCACCAGAUGUGGCUAUCUUCUCAGUCAAGAAUCAAGAACUCGGAAAACCUUAGACACAUGAAGCAUAAUGCUCUAGUAGCCAACGCCGCUUUGAUGCGUCAGCACGCCGGAACUCCCCUGAAACGUCCGUCUACCGGCACCGGAGUUUUCCUUCCCCGGCGAUACCCAGCAACAACCCCUUCCGAGCCCAUCAAGAAGCCAGCACCAGUAGUCAACACAGCGGCUAUGUUGCAGUCAAAAGUCAACUUUGAUGAGUUUAUCAAUGUUAAGUCAAGACAGAGUCAGUUCGAUUACGGUAAUGAUUCAAACUAGAAACUAUUUUAAGUGUAAGAACACAGUACUUGUGACUUAAUCUAACUUUUUUUAUUAUUUAUUUUAAUUUGAGCAGAGUGCAUGUUAGCAAGAAGUAGACUACUUGCUCGUCAGGGAAACUACAGAGCAGCUGGUUGUCUGAAUCAAGAGAGACGUCUUCCUCAGGACUGGAUGUACUGAAACGGUUUGUUUUGUCUCGGAAGGAGCGUUAGUUAGAAGCGGUUUGGUUUUAGGUUAUAAACUGUGAUUGUUAUGAUAUGGUUAUUAACUAGUAAUAAGGAUUUGGAAAUCCAAAUAAAAGUAGGAGAUAUUUUACAAGUGUGUUACAUUAGUAUAAUAUUAUUGUUAGUCACUUAGACAAUAGCUCUCUGUAAUUUUUAUUUUUUGGACCUUGGGAGGGUUCAAGGGAGUUGAGUGGAGUGUGGUACUAUUUUUUUUUUCACUUUAGUCGACAUGUUAAGUUUCAAAAUGUGUUGGGUUGGGUGGGGGAUUUUGUUAUUUGCUGUAUUAAUUUCACAGUUUUUCUAAUGGGGUUGUAAUAAAAACAUCGCAAUUAUUUUGUUUAUUUUUAAAAUUAUGAAUUGAACUUGUUAAUUUCUUACCUUUACUUCCCAUUUUUAUAAGUACUUUGAUUUUUGUACUUCCAGACCAGAGUUUCGGAUUUAAAGUAGUUGUUUAAAAUUUCAAAAGAAAGAAAGAAACCGUAGUUUUCACCCUAUUUUCUCUCAAGUUUCCUCUCCGCCUCCCUCUUCAAGCUUUCAAUGGUUUUUCUUUUGAUCGGUGUGUGGCGGCUCCUUCAGUGCCGGCGCCGGUCAAAAUCUCUUCUACCGCCUUCUGUUUGCUUUGUCGUUCAUCCGUGUGUGACUUUUUUUUGUUUUGGGAGAAGAUUCGCCUUUGCCAAAUCGUCUUUAGCUUUCAGAUUUAUGAUGGAUUUCUGUUUCAAAGUUCUGGAUCUGUGGAUUGACGUGUGGCUUAGCUACAAAGAUUUUUUACUCGAAUCUCGUUCUAGAUCUGUUUGUCCUGUUGUUGUUGCGGAUCUCCUUUUUUUUUGGAUUGGACUCUUUUUGCAGGUGUUAGACUGUCCUCUUGGAGUUUGUUUUGGCUUCCAUCUAGUCUACAUUUAUGCCGUUCAUGGCAUGUUCUUGUGUUUUGGAUUAGGUGGACCUCGCCCCUAGUUGUUUGUUCAGAUCUCGCGGAGAUCUGUUGUUGUUGCCGCUUCAUACCUAGGCUUUCUACUGUCGUCGUAGAUCAAGCCACUUCUAAGAGUGUUAGUAAGAAUCUUUAUUUGCCGGUUUAUGAAAGUUUGGUUGUUGGGUCCUUGAGGUGUUUCCUCAGAGUUCUAGGAGGAGGUGGUCUACAGUGGUUUAGUCGAGGGUAUUCCCACUAAGCAGCUGCCACAUAAGCUCUAUCAUAUAGUCUCUCUGUAUUUUUGUUAGUCUUGUUCUAGUGAUUUGGAAAGUUAGUUAUUUGUUUUAAGUUUGCAAUAUCGUUGGUUCUUGUAUGCUGCCCCGUUGUGGGUUCUAGUGUCCGGGGAUAUCUUUGUUUUUCUCCGGUUUAGCUGACCACGGAAAGAUCUGUUAUUUGUUGGUGUUGUGUUGAAUUUAUCUUUGUUUUUAAUAAAAUCCGUUGAAGGAAAAAAAAAAAAAAAAAAAAAAAAAAAAAAAAAAAAACCGACCGACCGCUGUAUCCAGCAGCAGCGUCUGCUUCUUCACCAGAUGUGGCUAUCUUCUCAGUCAAGAAUCAAGAACUCGGAAAACCUUAGACACAUGAAGCAUAAUGCUCUAGUAGCCAACGCCGCUUUGAUGCGUCAGCACGCCGGAACUCCCCUGAAACGUCCGUCUACCGGCACCGGAGUUUUCCUUCCCCGGCGAUACCCAGCAACAACCCCUUCCGAGCCCAUCAAGAAGCCAGCACCAGUAGUCAACACAGCGGCUAUGUUGCAGUCAAAAGUCAACUUUGAUGAGUUUAUCAAUGUUAAGUCAAGACAGAGUCAGUUCGAUUACGGUAAUGAUUCAAACUAGAAACUAUUUUAAGUGUAAGAACACAGUACUUGUGACUUAAUCUAACUUUUUUUAUUAUUUAUUUUAAUUUGAGCAGAGUGCAUGUUAGCAAGAAGUAGACUACUUGCUCGUCAGGGAAACUACAGAGCGGCUGGUUGUCUGAAUCAAGAGAGACGUCUUCCUCAGGACUGGAUGUACUGAAACGGUUUGUUUUGUCUCGGAAGGAGCGUUAGUUAGAAGCGGUUUGGUUUUAGGUUAUAAACUGUGAUUGUUAUGAUAUGGUUAUUAACUAGUAAUAAGGAUUUGGAAAUCCAAAUAAAAGUAGGAGAUAUUUUACAAGUGUGUUACAUUAGUAUAAUAUUAUUGUUAGUCACUUAGACAAUAGCUCUCUGUAAUUUUUAUUUUUUGGACCUUGGGAGGGUUCAAGGGAGUUGAGUGGAGUGUGGUACUAUUUUUUUUUUCACUUUAGUCGACAUGUUAAGUUUCAAAAUGUGUUGGGUUGGGUGGGGGAUUUUGUUAUUUGCUGUAUUAAUUUCACAGUUUUUCUAAUGGGGUUGUAAUAAAAACAUCGCAAUUAUUUUGUUUAUUUUUAAAAUUAUGAAUUGAACUUGUUAAUUUCUUACCUUUACUUCCCAUUUUUAUAAGUACUUUGAUUUUUGUACUUCCAGACCAGAGUUUCGGAUUUAAAGUAGUUGUUUAAAAUUUCAAAAGAAAGAAAGAAACCGUAGUUUUCACCCUAUUUUCUCUCAAGUUUCCUCUCCGCCUCCCUCUUCAAGCUUUCAAUGGUUUUUCUUUUGAUCGGUGUGUGGCGGCUCCUUCAGUGCCGGCGCCGGUCAAAAUCUCUUCUACCGCCUUCUGUUUGCUUUGUCGUUCAUCCGUGUGUGACUUUUUUUUGUUUUGGGAGAAGAUUCGCCUUUGCCAAAUCGUCUUUAGCUUUCAGAUUUAUGAUGGAUUUCUGUUUCAAAGUUCUGGAUCUGUGGAUUGACGUGUGGCUUAGCUACAAAGAUUUUUUACUCGAAUCUCGUUCUAGAUCUGUUUGUCCUGUUGUUGUUGCGGAUCUCCUUUUUUUUUGGAUUGGACUCUUUUUGCAGGUGUUAGACUGUCCUCUUGGAGUUUGUUUUGGCUUCCAUCUAGUCUACAUUUAUGCCGUUCAUGGCAUGUUCUUGUGUUUUGGAUUAGGUGGACCUCGCCCCUAGUUGUUUGUUCAGAUCUCGCGGAGAUCUGUUGUUGUUGCCGCUUCAUACCUAGGCUUUCUACUGUCGUCGUAGAUCAAGCCACUUCUAAGAGUGUUAGUAAGAAUCUUUAUUUGCCGGUUUAUGAAAGUUUGGUUGUUGGGUCCUUGAGGUGUUUCCUCAGAGUUCUAGGAGGAGGUGGUCUACAGUGGUUUAGUCGAGGGUAUUCCCACUAAGCAGCUGCCACAUAAGCUCUAUCAUAUAGUCUCUCUGUAUUUUUGUUAGUCUUGUUCUAGUGAUUUGGAAAGUUAGUUAUUUGUUUUAAGUUUGCAAUAUCGUUGGUUCUUGUAUGCUGCCCCGUUGUGGGUUCUAGUGUCCGGGGAUAUCUUUGUUUUUCUCCGGUUUAGCUGACCACGGAAAGAUCUGUUAUUUGUUGGUGUUGUGUUGAAUUUAUCUUUGUUUUUAAUAAAAUCCGUUGAAGGAAAAAAAAAAAAAAAAAAAAAAAAAAAAAAAAAAAAAAAGAAAGAAAGAAACCGUAGUUUCAAUUUUCAAUGAAGCUACUUCCAGACCACUGUAUGUACUUCGAUUAUAGGGAGUUGCAUAUCUAGUGGGUAGAUACGUAUUCUUUUUGAAAAAAUAAAAUAAAGAAGCAUGACAUGGAAACAUGGUAACAUGGAAAAAAGCAAAAAGAAAGAGGUAAAGAAGAUCUGAAAGAAAGAAAAAAGAAGAGAAGGGUUGCGUAGGCGUGAAGCAGUGGGAAAAUAUGCACAGACUUUGAAAAAUAGAACACACCUUUUUAUUUUCCUCUCUAUAAAUGUAAAUCUUAUCUAUUAUCUGCUGUACUUGUGUGUGAUAUAAGAUUACAUGCCCUCUAAUAUCUACGUAAAUUGGCACGUUUUCUAAUUAGAUAGUAGACUUUGAACGUUUACAGUCUUGCCUACACCUAAUAUAGUACAGGUUUAGAUACUUAAGAAAGUUGAUGUUGCCAUCUAUGAAUGAGAUCGUUCAGCAGACUUUGGAUUCAAAUUAACAAUAGAUCAUACUAACCAUAAAAAGAAACAAAUGUAACAGCUUUUGUCAUUUGUCCAUUUAUAUAUUAUGUUAAGAGUCCAUCUAUAUCAUCUCACCUUAAUAUGGGAAUGAUUUUGUGCUAUAUCGUGAUGAGCACUUUGACAACACUUGAGAGACUUAUCAACAAAUCAUAGAUACAUCCUUUAAGACUAAUCCAAGAUCAAAGCCAGUAACGAGGAUAAACCUAUAUUCACCCUUUGAAACAAAAAAAAAAGUUAGAAGAAAGACCCUAUAGACCUGUAUGUCGACCCUACAUCCAUUACCAAUCAACCCAUAAUCCACAUAAGAGGAGGCCUAGAAGUUAGUCUUAUUCUACUAACGAUUCAUUAUUAUGUAUGAAUGUGUCCUUCAAACAGAACUAGAUUCGAUUGAUGUCAACUUGAAUCAAACACAUAGUUGGUGUACUUGCGUGUCAACAAAACAGAGCAGGAAGUAGAAAGAUGUCAAUAAUAGAGUAGAGUGGAGUGUUGCGUUGAAACUUGAAGUGUUGCGUUGAAACUCGAAAGUAAUAAAAUUAUAACGGAAAAUCGCUUAAAAAACUUUGAAAAUUUCCCUUACUAGCACUUUAAACCACGAAGUUUUUUCUCUGACAUUUUUAACUUUUAAAGUGACAUUUGUAUCAUAAAAAACCUCCAAAUUAAAAAAUUGACAUGUUGAACAGGUUAAAAAGUGAUGUAUCAGUUUUUUUUUCAAAAAAUAAUUAUUUAAUUAAUAAAAUAAAUAAAAAUCUAAAUAAAGUUUAGAAAAUUAAAUAAAAAUCGAAAAUUCAAUAAAAAUUCAGGAAAAUCUAAGCAAAAAUCCGAAAAUUAAAUAAAAAUUAAAUAAAUAUUUUAAAAAAUUAAAUAAAAAUAAAAAGAAAUAAAAAUUAAAUAAUAAAUAAGAUUAAAUUAAAAUACAGAAGAACUAAAUAAUAAAUUUAUUUAUUUAAUUUUCUAAUUUGAUUUGAUCUCAUUUUUUUGAUUUUUUAGUUAAUUUUUAAUUUUCUGAUAUUUAAUUAAUUUCUGAUUUUUUAAAAUUAAUUUCUGAUUUUUAUUUAAUUUAUGAGUUUUUAUUUAAUUUUUGUGUAUAUAAAAACAAAAAAAAUAAAAAAUCCGAAAUUAUUUAAUUUAUUUUUAAAAUAUUUAUUUUAUUCUGAAAUUUUUAUUUAAUUUUCUGAUUUUGAUUUUGAUUUUCCUGAAUUUUUUAUUAAAUUUUCAAUUUUUAUUUAAUUUUCUAAACUUCUAUUUAGAUUUUUAUUUAUUUUAUUAAUUAAAUAAUUUUUUUAGAAAAAAUAAUUGACACAUCAUUCUUUUAACUCGUUUAACAGAUCAAUUUUUUAGUUUGGAGGUUUUUUAUGGUACAAAUGUCACUUUGAAGACUAAAAGUGUUAGUGAAAAAUUUCAAAGUUUAAAGUGCUACCAAGUAACGCUUUCAAAGUUUUUUAUGCGAUUUUCUCAAAUUAUAACUAAAACAUUUUGUUCUUCAGUCUUCACUAUCGCUGAACGCAUUCAAAAUGGCACCAGCCAAUCGUUAUUUUGUAUAUCUAUUUAUAUAUUGAAUAAUUUAAAUAUCGUUUUGGUUUUGUUUCAAAUUUCGAAAUAUUUUUUUAUGAAUAAUUUAUAUAUUUCGAGGGCGUUGAUUGUUGCACACAUUCCGCAAUUCCGAAUAAAAGCCAAGAGCAAUCACAUUUCUUGUUCAACAUUGAACCUUUUCUUUAUGUGCUAUGAGUUUCAACUAUUCUUAAAGAUGAAGUCGAGAAAGAAACAAAAGAAGUGAAGCCGCAAAAAUCUAAAGACAAAAGAGUGAAGACAUGUGUUUGGUUUGGGAGAUGUGGAUCCAAGCAGCUUUAUCAUUUGACUUGGUCAAACUUGAAUUCAAUGUUAACACAAUUUACUAUAUGCUCGAUUUUAUAAUGUUUACUUUUUUGGUUUUAUGAUUUUUAUAGUAUUGUAUAACAUGAGAACUGUUACUUUUCAAAUAAUGACGUUACAAUACUUACAUUUACACGAGGUCAUUUUUCAUUUCUACUUGGAUCCGAAUGAUUGUUCAUGUUUUAGUAUAGAAUACCCUAUCUCGUUAACUUUCCAUGCAAUAUCAUUCCGGAACAAUGUAUAAGCACGUGCUUGGAUUUAUAUAUACACCAAAACAUAGGAUCUAUGAUUAGGAGUGCAUAUUUAGACAUAACCGAAUUAUUCAAAUCAAGAUCAUUCAAAAUGUACUGGAACAUACCGAAUCUAAAAUGUACUGGAAAAAAUCGAACUAUAUAUACUGACAUUUAUAUUUAAGUCAUAUUUAUGAUAAAAACUAAUACUGAAAUAUGUAUUAAUAAUGCCGUGUUAGUACAAUAUCAGUUAUGAUCUAUAGUACUUAUUUUUAUAUUACUCUUGACCAAUUUAAAUUCAACCCAUACUAUAAAUUUCAUUAAACAUAAGACUAAACAAACAAACCAAUACUAGACACUUCAUUUGAAUUAAUUUCAUCUCUAGCUGAUUGAGUUUCCAUUUUAUUGAACCAAACAAACAUAAAGAAGAAACCAGAAUCGAACCACAGGUCAUUAGCUCAACGGUAAAAGAUCACGAUCAUUGUGUCAGAAAUCUCUAGAUCGAAUAACCGCUGGAACAAAACUAAUAAUUUCCUCUGUUUCAUAAUAAAUGAAGUUUUGGUUCUUUGCACAUAUAUUAAGAAAAUUAGAUUAUGUAAACAAAAAUCAUUAAAAUUAAUUUAAAACUAAUUUAUUUAAUUAUUAAAAAAAAAAAAAAUUAGCUACACAGUUUUUGAUAAAGUUAAAGUUAUCUAGAUAUGUGAAAAUAUCAUCUAUUGUGAAACAAAAACAAUGACCUAAAAAAUCAUCUAUGUUGAAAUGGAGAGAGUAUUAUAUGAUGCGGUUUCGGAACUAGGGAAAUUAGGGCUUCUGUUGAACUUCCUGGUAAUUCAAAAAAAAAAACGAACCUAUAGUAUAGUAGUAGUGAAUUAUUAUGUUUUGGUAGGUCAUCAUUGUUGAUAAAUUUUCAAAAAUAUAAUUAUUAUUUAGCCAUUAUGUCUCUCAGAGGACGACAAGGUGUCCAUAACUCCAUAUAUAAAUGGCAGCAGUGUGAGUAAAGCAAAAGCUAUAAUCAAUCUUCAUUAUCGGAUAAUUUGUAUUCCUUUCUACGCAAUGGGAUGAUGUCAAUAUUGUGAGUGAUAGUUUAAAGACUUUAUGUCAACAGAUAGCUAGACCCUUUGACGAGGUAUAAUAGCUCUACAAGUAUUUACAUGCGACUAUGAUUUAAAUCUAUGAGUUUGGAAGAUGAGUUGCGUUUUUAGAAAUAAUUUACCGCUACUAGUUUCGGAUGAAAGCAAACUAUAUAAACUAAUGAUUAUAAAAAUAUAUUAAUAUAAGAGAAAUUCUCUAGCCUUAAACUUUUGUCGCAAAAAUAGUUUUCAUUGAGAAAAAUGACCAAUUUUUUUUAUUAAAAGGUAAAAAUACAUUUUUACUCUAGGAUUAACUAAUCUAGAAUUAGGAUUUAGAGUUAAUGGGUGAGGUUUUAGGGAUAUGGUUUCAAAUUUUUAAAAUUAAAAAAUAAAAAUUAAAAUUUUCAAAAUAAAAAUAGACUAUUUUAGUCAUUUUCUUUUUUGAGGAUUAUUUUUGUGACAAAAACUUAAAAGAACUAUUUGAAAAGAUUGUCCUUAAUAUAAAUUUUGUUGAUCGGUCGAUCCAUGUCAGGGAUCGAACCAUGCGGCACGGAUAGUUCGUUCUUUACCAAAUCCAUGAAAAAUAGAAAGUUUUAUUGAAGGCUUUUUACCUUAGUGUAUAGCACAAAUUAUACUAUGAAAAUCUACAUGUAUCAAUAAAUACUUUUUUUCUCCGUGAACGCAUAACUCUAGAGAUGAAUCACGUUAAAUCUCUCUGUUUUUUUAUUGUUUAUUUAUUCUGUUAGUUCGUUUCUUCUCACAUCUUUUUUUUUAACACAAAUACUUUCAUUAAUAAAGGAGAAGUUCCAAAGAUUAGUUUAUGAACUUUAAUACAUCAUGAUAGUUUCUGAGAGAGGCCUUGGCCAACCCAUCAGUUUCCUCGUUUUGGAAACGAAGGAUGAAGAUGAAACUUAUUGAAAAGAACAAAGAAGAGAGUCAUUCCAUAUAUGCAAGAAUACCAUAGAUUUCUUUCUGGAACUGCUUGUUGGUGAUAGCUUUGAUAAGCGUUUGACUGUCGGAGCGUACAUGUAUAGAAGAUAUGCCAAGUGAUGCUGCCGGUCUGAUGGCCAUGGCUUCUGCCAUCAGAGGAGAAGAGACGAAGUCAUGUAUCUUCGAUUCCUUGUGGUUGAUCUUCGUGCGGGUGUCUUUGAAAACCCAUGCAAGACCAGAUCGUUUACUCGAUUUUUCUCGAGAUGCAUCUGUGAAACAGAUCGUUUCGAGACUGGGAUCGUCAAUUAGGUAUCUUCUUUCAAAGAUUUUGGCUUUGUUGUUUGCCGUGUGUUGCUUGGAUAAAAUUAUUUAUCAUACGAUCAGGCUCCAGACUUCAUGCGCAUAGAGGCAUGAAAAAAGGAGAUUGAUGGUGCCUCCUGGCAUCUUGGACAACAGAUGUCUGCCAUAAUUUCGCGUCUUCUCAGGUUAUCGAACACAAGACCAGAGAAACAGUUUUAGCUUCUGUGAGACUUGUCCUGACCAUACAUCAUUUAUCCAUCGGAAUCCAUUAAUGUUUUGCAGAGCUUUUCACAUCUAUCACAACAAAGCAAAUUAUUUAAGUUUCCAACUUUGAUUAAAGAAAAUUUCCAACCACACAAAAAUAUAUAUAACCAAAAAUUCUCUAUAGUACAUGCUUUUGCCACGAUUAUUUUAUCUAGAUAUACAAUGAAAUUUAUUUAUUAUGCAAAAUUAUAAUUCUAUUUGAAUAACUUCAUACAACUUUUUAAAUCUGAAAUUUUGAAUCCAUAAAAUUAUUUGACCAAGAAAAGAAAGAAUCCAUGUAUAGUUAUGAAACCGGAGGCCUUCUUUUGGUAGGCUAUCAAAGGCCCAUGCUUGCCCCAUGUUUUAAAUAGGCUCUCCUAUUUUUUUUUUCUUUUUUUUUUUUUGUCUUUUCCCCAAGCAACCCAGAGAAGAGAUUUUGCGUCCCACAUAUGUUAUUUUUGACGCCGAGGAUUUGUCAAUCCCUGAUCCUCUUUUGUUGAAAAAGAAUAUCGUAACAGCUAUUAAGGAAGAAGGUUAUGGUGGGUUGAUUGAAGUCAAGGGUUACUUUGGUGACAAGCAAACCAUCUCCCAAAAGUUGCUCGAAUGAACAUGAUGUUAGUGGAGCUUCUUUUCUGGGCAAUUGCCCAUUAUCCUCAAGGAACAAAUGUUUUGAUUAUCACUAGAAACGAAAACAUCCUAGGACACCCUAAGAUCUCUCAGAUCAUUCAUGGUUUGGAAGAAAGAGAUUUUUAUUUUGCAAUUGAACAUAUUGAUCGCUUCUUUUCCCCAGUGGACACCCUAAGAUCUCUCAGAUCAUAUGUUAGUACAGAUUCUCUUUUGUAGAAUGAAUAAAUCUUUAGCUAUUUAGCUUAUUUCUUGUAGUGGGAGGCAAAGAAGAGCCGAACAAGCGCUUAAUGUUCUACUGUGGUCUUACCGCAAGAGAAGAGGAGGUGCAGCUUGCUACAUAAUUAUCUUUUAUGUAUGUUUCUUCAAUUUUCAUCAUCUUAUCUAAUAUUAUGAAAAUCCAAAAAAAUUAUUGUUCUUUUCUUUCGUUGGCAUAUGCUAUUGGUUUCGUGAUCAUUAUUAUUUUUUUAACUUGUGCAAAAAAAAGAUCUUAGCAUUAGGUGAUGAAAAAUAAAAAAGAGGAUGAUUUGAUUUUGGGCAUCUCUAGGGUUUUUGGUUAAUUGGGUCAAGGAGAAAGUGUUCCUUGUCGGAUACGAAACAAAGAAACUGAUGGUUAGAAGAGAAAACUCUGUCUCUGUCUCCGUUGAAGCGUUUUGUGACUAAGUGUUGUGUUUGGGUUUUGUGAAGAGGAGCAGUUUGAGAUCUACGAUGAGGGAUGAUCGGAGAGCCGUGAAGGUGGUGAGGAGGAUGGAGGAGUUUAAGGAUCAUAUUUGGAAACUAACAACAUGCUUACUCAUUUCACUCGACAGACCAUGCAUGCCCAAUUUACCUGCUCUAUAUGCACAUUAUACACGAACGAUCACUUAUUCUCUUCUGGCUGUGACUAAAAUUACAAGAAACCUUUGAAAGAACUUAUUUAUUUAUUUCGUAGAGCUGAACACAACACAUACUAAUAUAAGUGAUUGUAGUCCUCCACUUUUUGCAACCUCCAUUAAUACAAAUAUGUUAAAAAUAUCUGGCACAUUACCUAUCAUUUUCUUCGUGAUGGAACAUCCUUACCUUUGAAGUCAUCAGUGAAGGAGAUUGAAAAUGCUAACUCGUUUAGAAGAAAGUCAAUUUUCAAUAGCACGAUGAGUAGUGAAUACCAGUAGAAUAUUAAAAGUUAAAACUAUGUUAAUGAAUAGUGGAUUCAGACAAAAAAAUAUGUAUGACAUAUGACAAUUAAGGGGGGGUUAUUGGUUUAAGAAUUUUUAAAGAAUUAUAAAAUUUUAAGAAUCCAUGGUUAUUGCUUUAUGGAUUUUAAAAGUUUUUCCAAAAUCCAUUGUUAUUGGUUUUAAUACUUGUAAAUUCUAUUCAAAUCCUUUGUUAUUCAAAAAGUUUAGUUUUUAUUGAUUUUGCUAUUUUAUUCAAAUCUAUGGUUAUUGAGAACUAAAUUAUUUAUAUUUUAACUCAUAAGCUAGACUUUGAAAAUAGUAUGUCUACUCAUAAGAUUUCUGAAAUCUGUGUACUAAUAAAAACAUUCCCACACUUUAUGAUAUAUUUUUCUUGUUUGACAUGAGAUUUUCAGAAGAUUUCUUUGUCGGUAAGUUUCAUAGUUGGUGUGUUCUAACAUAAUUUUUCGUUUGUAUGAGUGGUGUCUCAAAAAAAAUGUCAAUGAAAACAAGACUGUUAAAAAUAUGUCAUAUAGUAUGAAGAUAAAAAAUGAUUAUUUUCACAACAUAACUAAGAACAAACCAUGCAUAACACAAAUAACCAAUACCUUAAAAUGCAUUUGUCUAUGUAAACACACCAAACGAUAAUAUAAUAGUGUCUCAUCGAAAUUCAUUGUUAGAAAAUUUCUACAACUUUUUUUGUACCUUAGAAGCAAAAACUUUUUGAAAAACUAUAUUGUGCAAAUUCUUAAUAAUCAAUGAUAAUCUAUAGAAAUCAAUACAAAAUAUUUGAUAGAAAUUAGGAAACAUUUGUGAAAUCUACUAAACUUUUAAAAAUCUGUCAAAUUCUAAAAUCACUUAAUUCUUUCCAAAUUCUGGUUCCAAUAACCCCCCGAAACUUUGAAAAUAAUAAAUUAUGUAUCAACCGCAAAAUCACAAAAACUGUAUAAUCUUACAGCUUAUGCUACUCAUUCCUUUAACAAAAUAAUAUAAAAUUGUAACAGCUAAAAUGAACUAAACCAUAUACUUAUUUAGAAACGCUUGCGUCUGGUUAAUACGUCAAUAUAACUAGGUGUUUUACCUGCACAUGUGAACAUAAUCGUUUUACUAAUAAUUAUUAAUAUACGUAAUAUGAUUUAAACAUCAUGAUAACUUAUUCUUUAUAUUCUUAAUCAUUUUAGUUUUCUUCGAUUUUUAUUUCGGUUUACGUCUCCUUAACACAAAGAAAAGCUAGAAAACUAUGAAACCGUAAGAGCAUAAUUACAUAUCAAAUACUCCACACAAUAAAGUAAAGUAAGAAUGUGAACUUUUGGUCUUUUUUAAUCUACUUUAUAUUUUUGAACCAGAAAUAUGUAUUAAAUUACAAAAAAAUAAUAAUACUAAAACACACACAAUCCAAGUAAGAACAAAAUAAAUAAAAAGUAAAUAAAAACUAAAGUUCGAUGAUAAUUUAGAAGAAAACUUAAAAAAAAACGAAAUUGAGAUAAUGAUAAUAUUUCAUUGGUUUACUUGAUCAAUAUAUACAUUGAGUUAUCUUAAUAUUUCAUAAGUUUACUUCUAAUAAAAGAAUUAAUAGAUAAUGAUAGUUUUAUUAUUAAAGUUAAUUUAUGGUUAAUUACAUAAUGAAAAAUCUAAUUAUUCAUUAAAAAUAUAUCUAUUUUAGCUGUUUUAGAAACUAAAUCGUUAAACACAUGUUCAUAACAUGAUUACAUAGGCAACUCUCUAAACUUAAUAUCAAAGCAUAUUUUUCUUAUAGAUUAAACAAUAAUAAAACAUACACGUGAAAUAACUACUGAAAGUACAUAAAUAUAGAUGUCAAAAACUAUAAUCGAGACAACUUGGAAUGAAUGAAAAAAAUGAAAGUAUAGAGUUUAAAACAUCUUACAUCAUGUGAAAAUAAAAAUUGGUCCUAACUUGUUUAAAAUAAUUAUAAUUGUAAUUCCAAUUAGAAAUUUUGAAAUAGUUAUGUUAUUUAAAUUAAUAAAUUAAUAAUUUAAUCUAAAUCCUAGUAAGAAUCUUGUGAAAUUUAAAAUAAUUAUAAUCAUAAUUCCAAUUAGAAAUUUCGAAAUAGUUUAUUAUUUAAAUUAAUAAAUUAAUAAAUUAAUUAGAAAUCGAAAUAUUUAUAUUAUCUAAAUUAAUAAAUUGAUGAUUUAAUCUAAAAACUACUAAGAAUAUGACAAAUAAGCAAAAGCUAAAAUCAUGGAGAAUUUAAAUUAAUAAAUUAAUUAGAAAUCAAAAUAUUUAUAUUAUCUAAAUUAAUAAAUUGAUGAUUUAAUCUAAAAACUACUAAGAAUAUGACAAAUAAGCAAAAUUAGCUAAAAUGAUGGAGAAUGAGACAAAUCAGCAAAAUCACUUCAUAAAUAAUAGUAUAGAUAAUGGAAACCAAAAAGUAGAAAAUAAUUAAAGUGGAACAAAAAAACUUGAUGAAGGUGGAAAUUAAAAGAUAAAAGGAUAACAAAGGGUUGAAAAACAAAACACAUUGCUCUCAACUUUGAGAGAGAGAGAGAGAACAUAUUCUUCAUAGCAACUAGAGGAAGGAUCCAAAGGGAUCGCAUUGAUCCUAAGUCGAGUGAAUUCUCCUUAAUAUUUUCUUAAUUAUUGGCAAAAAAUUCCAAUAUUUUGCUUGGUUUUGGAUCAUGCUAUCCCUUUCGAUUCAUCCUUCGGUAGCUUCAUCUUCGAUCAAACGGUUAUAGUAGACUCUUCACUGGAGAUUUUGUUUGGCUUAACAAAUCUGCGACGCUUUGGUCUCAAGCCAACAACAACAAUCUUGGAAACUCUCUUCUUACAAGUAAGUUUCAAAGACUCUUCUUGAGUCUUGACCAAAGCGAAUCAUGCCAAAAAUUGAAGACCUACCUGUUUUUUGUCUUUUUUUAUUUGGAUCGAAUUUCCAAUUUACCAUAGCGGAAAAUCUUAAUUGAUUAGUUAUCAAAUAUUACUGUAUAUGUUGAUAUAUAUGAAAUAUAGCACUUGAAGUUACUUUUAACUGGUUUAAACUUUCUGAAAAUACCUACAUGGCCAUUUCUGAAAACUAUUUUUUCAGUUAAAUACCAUAUAUAUAUAAUUGGUGCAUAUUGGUGUAUAUAUAUUUGUGCAUCUUUCAUAUCAGUUAUUUCCUUAAAUAUAUGGUAACUUUAUAUUCAUUCGAGAUUACUUUCUACACAUGCUUACUAGUUUGAAAUCCCAAGUCCCAAAGUCUCGUUGGAUCCCGUUAAAUUAAAUCAAGUAGGACUUGGAGUAGAGGUGUACAUAUGUUCACAGGAAAAGGACUUGGACCAUUUUAACUUUACCCAACUUAAUAGAAUUCCAAACUGAAAAAGAAUAAAAAACUUAAACAACGAAUCCAAAGGAAAAAACGAAGAUAAACACUGAACCUAACUACAACGCAUAUAAAUGUAUAUUAAAAACAGAAAUCAGGACAAAUCUUCAUCGCAAAGUACAACGAGUUACAGACUAAUCUUACUUAGUUAACAACAAAAAGUAUAUAUUACAUUUUACUUUAUAGUUUUUCUUCAAUUAAACGCAAAUAUAUCCCAGUGUGAAUAGAAUGUCAUUCGGAAAAUUGAUUUGUGGCAGGUUUAGAAAUAGUUUGAAGAAAAAUUUAUGGUUAAUUAACAUCAUUGUGUUUUUGUCUGAAGAAAGUCAGGACUAUCUGAAAAUAACAGCCACGAUCAUAACCUGAGGACAUCAUCAUUAGUAAGAUGGUUGACUUUCAAACAUGAAUACGCAUAUCAUACACACAUUAUGCAUAUCUUUAUUAUUAUUUCCUUCUUACAAUCAUUUUUCUCCCCACUGUAAUGUGUGAAAGAAGAAAAGAGCGGAAAAAUAUCUAAAGAAAUCAAAUUGAACUAAGAAGAAAAGGAACAGAAUCAUGACAUUGAAUUUGAUGUUGUUUACGUGCAAAAGAUUUUGGUGGACCGGCAGAUAUGGAAGAAAGGACGAUGUAUUUCUUCAUCUGCGAGAUUUGAAAUUACAUUGUCUCCUUCUUUCCCNNNNNNNNNNNNNNNNNNNNNNNNNNNNNNNNNNNNNNNNNNNNNNNNNNNNNNNNNNNNNNNNNNNNNNNNNNNNNNNNNNNNNNNNNNNNNNNNNNNNNNNNNNNNNNNNNNNNNNNNNNNNNNNNNNNNNNNNNNNNNNNNNNNNNNNNNNNNNNNNNNNNNNNNNNNNNNNNNNNNNNNNNNNNNNNNNNNNNNNNNNNNNNNNNNNNNNNNNNNNNNNNNNNNNNNNNNNNNNNNNNNNNNNNNNNNNNNNNNNNNNNNNNNNNNNNNNNNNNNNNNNNNNNNNNNNNNNNNNNNNNNNNNNNNNNNNNNNNNNNNNNNNNNNNNNNNNNNNNNNNNNNNNNNNNNNNNNNNNNNNNNNNNNNNNNNNNNNNNNNNNNNNNNNNNNNNNNNNNNNNNNNNNNNNNNNNNNNNNNNNNNNNNNNNNNNNNNNNNNNNNNNNNNNNNNNNNNNNNNNNNNNNNNNNNNNNNNNNNNNNNNNNNNNNNNNNNNNNNNNNNNNNNNNNNNNNNNNNNNNNNNNNNNNNNNNNNNNNNNNNNNNNNNNNNNNNNNNNNNNNNNNNNNNNNNNNNNNNNNNNNNNNNNNNNNNNNNNNNNNNNNNNNNNNNNNNNNNNNNNNNNNNNNNNNNNNNNNNNNNNNNNNNNNNNNNNNNNNNNNNNNNNNNNNNNNNNNNNNNNNNNNNNNNNNNNNNNNNNNNNNNNNNNNNNNNNNNNNNNNNNNNNNNNNNNNNNNNNNNNNNNNNNNNNNNNNNNNNNNNNNNNNNNNNNNNNNNNNNNNNNNNNNNNNNNNNNNNNNNNNNNNNNNNNNNNNNNNNNNNNNNNNNNNNNNNNNNNNNNNNNNNNNNNNNNNNNNNNNNNNNNNNNNNNNNNNNNNNNNNNNNNNNNNNNNNNNNNNNNNNNNNNNNNNNNNNNNNNNNNNNNNNNNNNNNNNNNNNNNNNNNNNNNNNNNNNNNNNNNNNNNNNNNNNNNNNNNNNNNNNNNNNNNNNNNNNNNNNNNNNNNNNNNNNNNNNNNNNNNNNNNNNNNNNNNNNNNNNNNNNNNNNNNNNNNNNNNNNNNNNNNNNNNNNNNNNNNNNNNNNNNNNNNNNNNNNNNNNNNNNNNNNNNNNNNNNNNNNNNNNNNNNNNNNNNNNNNNNNNNNNNNNNNNNNNNNNNNNNNNNNNNNNNNNNNNNNNNNNNNNNNNNNNNNNNNNNNNNNNNNNNNNNNNNNNNNNNNNNNNNNNNNNNNNNNNNNNNNNNNNNNNNNNNNNNNNNNNNNNNNNNNNNNNNNNNNNNNNNNNNNNNNNNNNNNNNNNNNNNNNNNNNNNNNNNNNNNNNNNNNNNNNNNNNNNNNNNNNNNNNNNNNNNNNNNNNNNNNNNNNNNNNNNNNNNNNNNNNNNNNNNNNNNNNNNNNNNNNNNNNNNNNNNNNNNNNNNNNNNNNNNNNNNNNNNNNNNNNNNNNNNNNNNNNNNNNNNNNNNNNNNNNNNNNNNNNNNNNNNNNNNNNNNNNNNNNNNNNNNNNNNNNNNNNNNNNNNNNNNNNNNNNNNNNNNNNNNNNNNNNNNNNNNNNNNNNNNNNNNNNNNNNNNNNNNNNNNNNNNNNNNNNNNNNNNNNNNNNNNNNNNNNNNNNNNNNNNNNNNNNNNNNNNNNNNNNNNNNNNNNNNNNNNNNNNNNNNNNNNNNNNNNNNNNNNNNNNNNNNNNNNNNNNNNNNNNNNNNNNNNNNNNNNNNNNNNNNNNNNNNNNNNNNNNNNNNNNNNNNNNNNNNNNNNNNNNNNNNNNNNNNNNNNNNNNNNNNNNNNNNNNNNNNNNNNNNNNNNNNNNNNNNNNNNNNNNNNNNNNNNNNNNNNNNNNNNNNNNNNNNNNNNNNNNNNNNNNNNNNNNNNNNNNNNNNNNNNNNNNNNNNNNNNNNNNNNNNNNNNNNNNNNNNNNNNNNNNNNNNNNNNNNNNNNNNNNNNNNNNNNNAGUGAUCAGACACAAUUCAUAAAAGCUUUUUUUGUCCAAAACAAAGCUAAACAACUAAAACUCAAGUUACAGAAGUUACCAAAUGCUUGAUAUAACAGAGUAUUUACAGUCAAUCAGGGAAAAAGCUUUGCAAUCACAAGUUCAAACAAAGUUACAGACUGUUUCAAACAAGUGCUUAGUUGACUAACAGAAAGUUCACAAAGAGCUAAAACGUUCUUUCCAAAGAAGAGACAAUCUCAAUUCUACAACAAUCCAUCAGUUCAAAAAGCUUUAUCAUCUCGCCAUUAGCUUAAAAGAAUCACAGUAUCACAAGACAGCAAGAUACAGUUUACUAGUAGUCUAGUAUCAUAAAGAUCAUAACAUCAGUCUCAGAUUUUCAACAAACCCAGAAACUCUAGAGAUCGAUUUCAACAAACCCAGAACAAAACUAGAAGAACGUACCUCACAGAAUGCUUAUUGGAGAAGACGGAUACAACCCCGACGACGCUCUUCGAAAUCGAUCUCUAGGGUUGGUGUGUUCGUUGAAAUCAAUCCAGGAGCAGCAGAACUUGAUGAGGACGUCGUGUUAUCGGAUUUGAAUUUGAGCAGCUUCGUUCAGAUUCUAGGGUUCACGUUGCGAUCCUCUUUGUUUCUCUCUUUUCUGGUUUCUGGAAAAAAGAGACGGCCUUGAAGAAAAAUCAAAACUACGUCUCGGUUAAGAUUCUCAAUUCAGAUACUUACUAAUAAUUAGUAAUAUAUGUAUUAUAAUUUAAAAAAUCAUAAUAACUUAUUUUUAUAUUCUUAAUCAUUUUAAUUCUCUUCGAUUUUUAUUUCGAUCUAAUUCUUUUUAACACAAAGGAAAGCUAUAAAACUAUGAGAGGAUAAAAACAUAAUUACAUAUCAAAUAUUCCACCCAAUAAAGUAAAGUAAGAAUGUGAACUUUUGAUCUCUCUCAAUCUACUUUGUAUUUUUGAACCAUAAACAUGAAUUAACUUACCAAAAACAAACAUUAAAACACACAAAAUCCAAAUAAGAACAAAAUAAAUAAAAACUAAAGUUUGAUGAUAAUUUUGAAGAUUUUUUUUUAAAACAAAUUGAGAUAAUAACAAAUUUCAUUGGUUUACUUGAUCAAUAUAUACAUUGACUUAUCUUAAUAUUUUAUAAGUUUAAUUUUAAUAAAAGAAACAAUAAAUAAUGAUAGUUUUAUUAUUAAAGUUAAUUUAUGGUUAAUUAUAUAAUGAUAAAUCUAAUUAUUCAUUAAAAAUAUAUUUACUUUUAUUUGUUUUAGAAACUAAACCAUUAAAGACAUGUUUAUAACAUGAUUACAUAAAUUCUCUAAAUUUAAUAUCAAAGAAUAUUAUUCUUACAGAUUAAACAGUAAUAAAACAUAUACGUGAAAUAACUACUGAAGUAAUUCGGAAUACCUAAUUCCUAAUUCCAAAUUCCAUGUAACAAAAAUGAUUUGCUCCUAGUAUUUCAGACUCAAAGAAAGAAGAAAAACAUAGAACUUCAACUAUAAAAAAAAAAAUAUCAAAAGUGCAUAAAUAUAGAUGUCAAAAACUAUAAUCGAGACAACUUGGAAUGAAUGAAAAAAUGAAACUAUAGAGUUUAAAACAUCUUACAUCAUAUGAAAAUAAUAAUUGGUCCUAACUUGUUUAAAAUAAUUAUAAUUGUAAUUCCAAUUAGAAAUUUUGAAAUAGUUAUGUUAUUUAAAUUAAUAAAUUAAUAAUUUAAUCUAAAUCCUAGUAAGAAUCUUGUGAAAUUUAAAAUAAUUAUAAUCAUAAUUCCAAUUAGAAAUUUCGAAAUAGUUUAUUAUUUAAAUUAAUAAAUUAAUAAAUUAAUUAGAAAUCGAAAUAUUUAUAUUAUCUAAAUUAAUAAAUUGAUGAUUUAAUCUAAAAACUACUAAGAAUAUGACAAAUAAGCAAAAGCUAAAAUCAUGGAGAAUUUAAAUUAAUAAAUUAAUUAGAAAUCAAAAUAUUUAUAUUAUCUAAAUUAAUAAAUUGAUGAUUUAAUCUAAAAACUACUAAGAAUAUGACAAAUAAGCAAAAUUAGCUAAAAUGAUGGAGAAUGAGACAAAUCAGCAAAAUCACUUCAUAAAUAAUAGUAUAGAUAAUGGAAACCAAAAAGUAGAAAAUAAUUAAAGUGGAACAAAAAAACUUGAUGAAGGUGGAAAUUAAAAGAUAAAAGGAUAACAAAGGGUUGAAAAACAAAACACAUUGCUCUCAACUUUGAGAGAGAGAGAGAGAACAUAUUCUUCAUAGCAACUAGAGGAAGGAUCCAAAGGGAUCGCAUUGAUCCUAAGUCGAGUGAAUUCUCCUUAAUAUUUUCUUAAUUAUUGGCAAAAAAUUCCAAUAUUUUGCUUGGUUUUGGAUCAUGCUAUCCCUUUCGAUUCAUCCUUCGGUAGCUUCAUCUUCGAUCAAACGGUUAUAGUAGACUCUUCACUGGAGAUUUUGUUUGGCUUAACAAAUCUGCGACGCUUUGGUCUCAAGCCAACAACAACAAUCUUGGAAACUCUCUUCUUACAAGUAAGUUUCAAAGACUCUUCUUGAGUCUUGACCAAAGCGAAUCAUGCCAAAAAUUGAAGACCUACCUGUUUUUUGUCUUUUUUUAUUUGGAUCGAAUUUCCAAUUUACCAUAGCGGAAAAUCUUAAUUGAUUAGUUAUCAAAUAUUACUGUAUAUGUUGAUAUAUAUGAAAUAUAGCACUUGAAGUUACUUUUAACUGGUUUAAACUUUCUGAAAAUACCUACAUGGCCAUUUCUGAAAACUAUUUUUUCAGUUAAAUACCAUAUAUAUAUAAUUGGUGCAUAUUGGUGUAUAUAUAUUUGUGCAUCUUUCAUAUCAGUUAUUUCCUUAAAUAUAUGGUAACUUUAUAUUCAUUCGAGAUUACUUUCUACACAUGCUUACUAGUUUGAAAUCCCAAGUCCCAAAGUCUCGUUGGAUCCCGUUAAAUUAAAUCAAGUAGGACUUGGAGUAGAGGUGUACAUAUGUUCACAUGAAAAGGACUUGGACCAUUUUAACUUUACCCAACUUAAUAGAAUUCCAAACUGAAAAAGAAUAAAAAACUUAAACAACGAAUCCAAAGGAAAAAACGAAGAUAAACACUGAACCUAACUACAACGCAUAUAAAUGUAUAUUAAAAACAGAAAUCAGGACAAAUCUUCAUCGCAAAGUACAACGAGUUACAGACUAAUCUUACUUAGUUAACAACAAAAAGUAUAUAUUACAUUUUACUUUAUAGUUUUUCUUCAAUUAAACGCAAAUAUAUCCCAGUGUGAAUAGAAUGUCAUUCGGAAAAUUGAUUUGUGGCAGGUUUAGAAAUAGUUUGAAGAAAAAUUUAUGGUUAAUUAACAUCAUUGUGUUUUUGUCUGAAGAAAGUCAGGACUAUCUGAAAAUAACAGCCACGAUCAUAACCUGAGGACAUCAUCAUUAGUAAGAUGGUUGACUUUCAAACAUGAAUACGCAUAUCAUACACACAUUAUGCAUAUCUUUAUUAUUAUUUCCUUCUUACAAUCAUUUUUCUCCCCACUGUAAUGUGUGAAAGAAGAAAAGAGCGGAAAAAUAUCUAAAGAAAUCAAAUUGAACUAAGAAGAAAAGGAACAGAAUCAUGACAUUGAAUUUGAUGUUGUUUACGUGCAAAAGAUUUUUAUUUGUGGCAGGUUUAGAAAUACUUUGAAGAAAAAUUUAUGGUUAAUUAACAUCAUUGUGUUUUUGUCUGAAGAAAGUCCGGACUAUCUGAAAAUAACAGCCACGAUCAUAACCUGAGGACAUCAUCAUUAGUAAGAUGGUUGACUUUCAAACAUGAAUACGCAUAUCAUACACACAUUAUGCAUAUCUUUAUUAUUAUUUCCUUCUUACAAUCAUUUUUCUCCCCACUGUAAUGUGUGAAAGAAGAAAAGAGCGGAAAAAUAUCUAAAGAAAUCAAAUUGAACUAAGAAGAAAAGGAACAGAAUCAUGACAUUGAAUUUGAUGUUGUUUACGUGCAAAAGAUUUUGGUGGACCGGCAGAUAUGGAAGAAAGGACGAUGUAUUUCUUCAUCUGCGAGGUUUGAAAUUACAUUGUCUCCUUCUUUCCCUUCACUUAAUUUGCUAUUUACGUAUGCUUACAGUCAUCUCAAUGACACUCAAAGUUUUAUAACUUUUUUAUUUGUAUCUUUAUAUUUUUUGGGUAAUUUGUAAAUUCUAUUGUCUCAUUGUUGGAUCCCCGCGUAGUUGCUUGAGUUCAUCGUGUCUUCGUGGGUUCAGCUUUAAAAAGGCAGGUAGUGAUACGCUUAGUUAGGCCACCUUUCAAGCCCAUGAAUGUAAACAUAUGUAGUAACUGUGACUAGUGGCAACGGCUCCACAAGUGCCGCUCUCCUGCUGCCGCAAAAGCAUCACACGUGGUUUAUCUUAAUCCAGCUUGGACCAACUUGCAAAUCAAACCACUAGAUUCUGCUCUGGUCUUCAUGGUUCGGCGAAUCGGUGUGACGAGCCAGAUUGAACCAUUGGGGAGGAGAUAAAUCAUUAAUAUCUUAUCUCUCAUAUCAAUUAUUCUUCUUAUGAAUAUCUUAAAUAUUUUAUAUCAAUUAUUGUUCUUAUGAACCUCCAUGGGUCAAGUUUUUUUUUACCAAAAUUAUACUCCUACCAAGAUAAAGAUGGCCAAAAAAAGAAAAAAGAUAGCCAAAAAAUGUUAUAUUUUGCUUAUAGGAAUAAAAAAGAUACUGGGCUUUGCUAUAAAGUGUCCUUGAAAUUAAUUGCGUCCACAACACUAAGGCUUCUUUAUCGUCCAUUAUUAAGGCACUACAAAGCAUAAGGGAUAUAACGAUAUAUACUUAUUCCUGAUCAUUUGUUUGGUAACUACUAAUUCCUUCUUCUUUAUUCCUUCCAACUCUCAUUUAACAUACAUAUAUACGUUUGAGGAAGGUUGUUUUGUAUACCUGUAAACUUAAUAUCUAAAACGUGUACCUCAAGCAACCGCCCGAGGAUCAAACAAUGUCAAUUCGCUGAAUUUAAAAAUGAAGGAAUACAGGUUUUUGUAACCUUCAAAAUGGGCUUUUGUGUCAUGGUCAGUGAUUGGCAUCUUGGUCAUGGAGAACGCAUAAAAUUUGAGUUGGGACUUGGGAGAAUAGUUGGUACUUCCAAGUGGUUUAAGAUUUGUUGGAAGUUGUGCCCUUCUGCCAUUAACUUCAGCCAAUAGCUAGAUUGCAUGGCCCCAGUCAACUUGCUCUGGAGAACGUGUGUAUAUUUAUAUAAUUUCGAUGAAAACUCAAAUAUUGUUUUUUUUUUCUCUCUCUAAUAUAGAAGAACUACCAAUUUUUUACUUUUGUUUUAAAAUAACUUUGAAUUUAGAUAAAAAAAAAAUUGAAUAUAAAAUGUAUUGAAGUUCUAGACAUUACAGUGAACAUUUAAUAAUUUUGUUCUUACUAAAGAAGACCCAUAAUGUCAAGGAAAGUAUUUUCUGAAAGGAUAAUUUUUUGUAAAUAUAUUUAUUUAGUUUUUUAUUUAUAAAUCUGGCCAUUCUUAUGCAAAAACAAAAAUUCAGACGAGAGAGACUUGAGACCUCAAAGGCUCACAAGACCACCCACCAAAUGCGUUAGUAUAAUGUUAUGUCCAGCUUUUCUUCAUCGGUCUCUCCUUUCUUUGACUGAAUUAGAUUCUAUCUUGUUUUCAGUGAAGGAGAGAAAAAUUCGCUUAAAAAAAGACAGAUUCUAUAUAAAUCAGAAAAGCUGGCUUUCUCAAAACUCCUUCAUGUAGUUGAGGAAGGAGGAGGAGAAGAAGAAAGGCAAAGGCUCUUAGCUGCAGAUACACAAGAGCCCUUUGUCGUAACGACCAUGAACGCCACCGAAGCUAUGAAUCGCAAAGUUAAUGUCAGAGGAGACGAUGUUGAUAUCGAAAUCCCUGACACUGCUCAUCAAAUUAGCAGCGGUUUGUAAAUUCAUUUUCCCCUCCUUUGUUUUGUUAUUUUUUUGCAAGCAUCCAAUAUUUUUACUUUUAAUCUUUUACCACGAAAAAUGUUUUCACCACAAAGAGUAAAUUAACCUAAUAUAAAAACCCAAAUUCUAAAAAUCUGUUUAUACUGCACCUAGAAACAUUUUACAACCAUAUAUGUUUGUUUGGGAAAUUUUUGCUUUGUCAAACUCUGUUUUUAGUAAUCUGAGAUCACAUUUUGGGGUUUAGCUUAAACCUGUUCUUGUGGAAUGGUACAGAUUCAUGGUUUCAGGUGGCGUUCGUUCUGACAACCGGUAUAAACAGCGCGUAUGUGUUGGGAUAUUCAGGAACAGUAAUGGUUCCUUUAGGUUGGGUUGGUGGUGUGGUUGGUCUUCUUCUCGCUACUGUAAUCUCUCUCUAUGCAAAUACUCUCGUAGCCAAGCUUCAUGAGUUUGGUGGCAAGAGACACAUUCGUUAUAGAGACCUUGCUGGAUUCAUUUACGGUACAAAAAAAAAAAACACCAAACCACCUCUCUUAUAUUUUCUCUGUUGUCACAUUCAUUGAAAUGUUUUGAUCAGGUAGAAAGGCUUAUCACCUUACAUGGGGAUUGCAGUAUGUUAAUCUUUUCAUGAUUAACUGUGGAUUUAUCAUACUAGCUGGCUCUGCCCUGAAGGUAGUUAAAACAUCUUGAUUCUUGAUUAUUAAUUCUUGAAUUUUGAUUCCUUGUGAGCCAAGUUAGUUAUUUUGGAGUGUGUUUUGUUUCUACAGGCUGUUUAUGUGCUUUUCAGGGAUGAUCAUACUAUCAAGUUACCUCACUGUAUAGCCAUUGCUGGUCUGAUAUGUGCGGUUUUCGCCAUUGGAAUCCCUCAUUUAUCUGCUCUUGGGGUCUGGCUUGCAGUUUCAACCAUCCUGAGUCUCAUCUACAUAGUAGUAGCAAUUGUCCUAUCAGUUAGAGACGGUAUAACUUAAAAUAAUGAUCAAGAAUUUAGCUAUACUGAUAGAUUAUAUAGCUACUGAUAAAUCUGACUCUUGGCUAUUAUAUUUUUGUUAUUUUGUAGGAGUGAAAGCACCUGCAAGAGAUUACGGAAUACAAGGAUCAUCACUAAGCAAACUUUUUACCAUCACAGGAGCAGCUGCAAACCUGGUCUUCGCAUUCAACACAGGGAUGCUUCCAGAGAUUCAAGCGACAGUGAGACAACCGGUUGUGAAAAACAUGAUGAAGGCUCUAUACUUUCAGUUCACAGCUGGUGUUUUACCAAUGUACGCGGUUACAUUCAUCGGAUACUGGGCUUACGGAUCCUCAACCUCCACCUAUUUGUUAAACAGUGUUAACGGCCCACUAUGGGUCAAAGCCCUUGCUAACGUUUCAGCUAUACUUCAGUCUGUUAUCUCUUUGCAUGUAAGUUUCUUGGCCCCAAGUCUUUAACUGUCUCAAACUUUUUGUAACGUUCCGACCACCCACGGAUAAUAAGACUCCCAUGCCCGCUCACUCGACCCGUUGGUCCUAUUACACCUUUGCUCAGUUCUUCUUCUUUAUUUGUAGAUAUUUGCGAGUCCAACAUAUGAGUACAUGGACACAAGGUUCGGGAUCAAAGGACAUCCACUGGCUUUAAGGAACUUGCUGUUCAGGAUCAUGGCGAGAGGCGGGUACAUCGCGGUGAGCACGCUUAUCUCGGCGCUCUUGCCGUUCCUUGGGGACUUCAUGAGCCUCACUGGUGCAGUGAGCACAUUCCCUCUUACAUUCAUUCUAGCUAACCACAUGUACUAUAAGGCUAAGAAAACUAAGCUUAGUCCUAUGCAAAAGGUAUGGCAUUGGCUUAAUGUUGUCUUCUUCAGUUUGAUGUCUGUUGCUGCCGCCAUUGCAGCUCUCAGGCUCAUCGCCCUUGACUCUAAAAACUUCCACGUUUUUGCAGAUAUGUAAUUCAUUUUAGUAUAAUUGUAAUGGUUCAUUAUUCUCCCACCAAAGCUUGUAUUCUCUUUUUGUAUUUUAUAACACAUCUGAACAUAAAUGAAACAAAAGAUUAUACAAAAGUACUAAAGUUUACCAUCAAGGUUGUGUCUGAACCAAUAGCAGAGACUCUCAGACGCACACCGCAGCAUUUGAGCAGCAAAGUAUCAACCAAAGGGUUACUCUUUUCCCUCUUACCAAACCCUUCAUCUCCUCACGAACAAGACAGCCUCGCUUCAAUCAAGAAUCUCGCCCUUGCCUGUGCUCUUCUCUCUUCUUCCCUCUCUUCCACUCACGAACUCUUCUCAUGGAUCCCCGAAAGCCUCUCACUCAUAGGGUUCUCCGAGAUAUCUAGGGAUUAUUACAAUGGUGGGAAGAUGAGAUUGGUGAUCGAGUUGUUGCCGGUUGUGUUGCCUGAGUUGAAGGAUACGAUCGAAGGGAGCUCGAUGGGUAAGAAGAGUGAUGAUGCAGAGGAUGUUUCAGCUGCAUUGACGAGACAACCUGUUGGUUAUGCUGUCUUAGCUGCUCACCAGCUCAAGUGGUUUGUGACUCAGGUCUGUACUGAUUACUGAAUCAUCAAUAACUUGAAACUAUUCUGUUAUGUUGUUGCUCAAUGCAUUCUCUUGGGCCUCUUGGUGGGUAGGUUGAGAAACCGGAACUGGGGAAGCUUUGCAACUUGGUGGUUCCUUGUUCUUUGACAGCACUUGACCAUUGGUCCCCACAAGUCAAAGUAAGUACUUUGGGUUGUAAUGGCUUUUGUCUCUUAUUAGUUGUAACAUGAGAUUUAAUGUUGUUUGUUUGCUUGAUGACAGGGGGAGGGUAUGCUAAGCUUUAUUCAUCUACUUAAAAAUGUGAGUUCAAAUGAUCUUGGUUUGUAUGGAGACGUGGUUCUUGAUGCUUGCUGUCAGAAUAUAGCUUCAGAUGAUGAGAUAUGGAUACAUGUGGUAGAGUUAUCUGUGCUUCUUGUGACUAAACUCCAUCCAAAUAAUCCUCGUACCUCAUGGUGCAACUCUUUUUUUUUUCUUUUUCUUGUGUGACUGUCUGCUCCGGCCAAAUGGUUCUGUUUGCUCCAUGUUUUUGAAUGUAUCUUUUUCUUAGGUACGAGAGGUUCAUGAUUCAUGAAUGAGAUGCUGGGCCAUUUGGAACGCCAACCAAGAAACAAAGAGCGGUGUAACGCUUGGCUUAGAUUCGUUGAGCAACUCUUGAAUGCUGUAGGGCUUUUCUUGCUUGCUCAUUUUCGACGUAUUUUUCCUCUUUUCUUUCAGUGGAUGCAUUCAGAUGACGCUGAAACUGUUUUGUUGGUAUGUCUUCAUUCACUUUGCAAAUGUUAUGUAAUAAUGAUUUACAAAAUGGUGAGAUUUGCUAUAAUGCUAUGUUAAGGAUUUUAACAGAGAAUGGAUGUUGGUGUUGAGAAAAAAAGGCUGUACAAGGAAGAGAGAGAGAGAGAGAGAAACUUAUUUUUUUCUAAACAAACCUUAAUUAGAAACAAGAGAAAGAGAGGGUUGGCGAAAGAGGAGGAAAGAAGCUAGCUAGACCACCCGGCGGCAGCGAUUUGAAAUCUCCGGUUUCAUUCGCUGGCCGUGGAAACGCGCAAGGAGAAAAUAGUGUUUAUGUUUUGGCUGUUUCGUCCUUGAGGUGUGAAUCUUGAAGAAGAAGAAGAAGAUUGUAAUGGGGAAGAAAAGAGGUCAUGUCCAUAAUGCUCUCUUCCAACGACGACACCAUGAUUUCUUCUCAGGAUCCUAAACCCAAGAGGAUCUACCAACUCUGGCCCGGCAACAAUGUAUGCCUUGUCUUUCACACCAUGUCCUCUUUGCUUUGCCUGCUCUCACUUUCUCCAUCCGAAUGGCUUUCAUGAUCGGAAUGAGCUAUCCUUUGUUCCACUCUCUUAUACUCAUGGGUUCCCUUUUGCUCACCGUCUUGGUAAUAAAACAUAAACUUGUCUUUUUCCUUGUAUGCCACACGUUUACCCCUUUCUUCACUACUUCCUAAUCUUCUUUACAGGAUUUCACAUUUCUCUUCUUAACUUCAUCAAGAGACCCCGGGAUCAUUCCAAGAAACAAAGAAGCACCUGAAGCAGAAGGGCUUGACAUGCUCAGUAAAACAAAGCUACCUGUAACCAAGGAUGUAUUAGUGAACGGCUACACAGUCAAUGUCAAAUUCUGUGAGACUUGUUUGCUUUACCGUCCUCCACGCGCCUCUCACUGCUCAACAUGCAACAACUGUGUCCAAAGAUUUGAUCACCACUGUCAAUGGGUGGGACAAUCUAGUAAGUCUUCCAUGUGAAACAAAAGGUGUGUGUGUGUGAGAGUAUGAAUCUGUUGAUCUAACAUGUUGUUAUAUAAACGGCAGAGAAACUAUCCUUACUUCAUAGGUUUCAUAUCAACUUCAACUCUCCUCUGCUUGUACGUCUCAUGGGUUAGUAUGCUUGAGGUACACGGCAAGAUGUUGUUAAUGGUCAUCAUGGACGACAUAAAACUGAUACUAUGUAUCUGCAUUGCAUCAAAAUAUUAAGUCAACCACUUGAUAUAGUAUAGCUUAAUUUUUAUAUUAGAAUUACCAAUUUCAACUAUUUAAUGCAUUAACUAAACAUUGAUAACAAAAUAAUUUCCCUAUUAAUAGUAUAGAAAUACUGUUCAAAAUAAUUUGCCUAUUUUCUAGAUUUAACUAAAAUGAUUUUCGUUGUUCAGAAAAAAAAAACUUUAAUGAUAAUAUAUACGGAAAAUAUGUAGUCUCUAUUUUGGUUUCCAUCAUCACUAGUAAGCUAGCGAGUGCGAUUAGCCACGCGCCGAAGACGGAGUGCACCUUCCUCUUUGUCUUUUAAAGCCACGCGCCGAAGACGGAGUGCACCUUCCUCUUUGUCUUUAAAGCCACGCGUCCUCCACCUCCACCUCCACCUCCACCUCCACCCGACUUUGACUCCAUCUCGUUGCUGCUGCUACAACGAAGAGGAAGAAAAGAGGAUACGAUUGACGAAGCUCGAGGAACAUGAGAUCAGGAGAACACAAUUGAAGAAGAGAGCGAGGCUGAUCAGAAACCGACAAAGCGCGCAGCUUUCGAGGCAGAGGAAGAAGCAUUAGGCUUAUCCAUGGAUGCAUUGUCCUCCUUAUAUGGUCAAGCAACAAGGAGGAGGACAAGUGCCUUUUGAUUCCCAUUCUAAUAUUACUUUCUGUUCCCUUAACUUUGUUUAUGACAAACUAUAGAGCAUCGAACUUACCUUCAGUUACGUCUCUUGUUAAGAGUAGAUGCAUAACCUAAUCCGGAUAGAUGCCAAACAGUAAGCACUAAUGAUUAACAUAUGAAUACUUACUCAUAGAAAUUGAAAUGAGCAGAUCAAACGACUUUCCUGAGGCAUUGUAGCUUUUGAGAUUAUUAAUAACCUGUUUUCGUUUUUUUUUUUUUUUAACUCCAUUGUAGGGCCAAUGUUUAGCUCCGGGAUGUGCACACAAAGUGUUUCAGUUCGAUGUCUCCUCAACCUCUGUAGCCAUUAUUCCUGCACUGAACACAGUAAGAAUGCCACAGACACACACAGGCGAGAAAGAACAGAAGAACUCUUCGUGGUCUAGCCAUUCCACUCCCAGGAUCAGAUUUUAACUUCACUAAAUUAGAGCACCAAAGAAACAGCUCUAGCAAAGAAAUCAAGCCCGCUUCAUCAAUGGUUGUGUCUGUGCUUGUUGAUCCCAGAGAAGGUGGUGAUGGAGAUAUCGAUGGGAUGAUUGGGGGACCAAAAUCACUGUCCCCAGUUUUCGUUGUCGUGCUUCAGGACAGUGCAAAAUAUGUAACAUACUACCUCGACCAGGAGCUCCUCAUCUUGUGACUACUUAAAAGACUAUUCAGGAUUGUAACAUGCUUCAGCUUUGUAUAUAAGAAUAAACAGUUGCUUGCUCUUUGGAAUCAAGUAACAUCCUUAGCUGUUUAGAUUUUUGUUUCCAGAUGUAGAGUCCGAAUGCUGUAACUUUUUCAAUAUUUCUUAGUAAACUUAUAAAGAACCUUACAAAGUUAUACUGUACGCAUCAAACUUCUCGAAUACAUUGCAAUAUUACAAGAAACAUGUCCUUAAAACAGAAGAAACUGAAAGUGAUCAGUUAGCUGAUUCCAUGGUUUGAGCCAAGGGGGCGUUAGUAAUAGCCAUCUUCAUGUCAGGAGGAGUUGAGCCGCUGCUACGUUCUCGGAUCUCUCUAUAUUCUUGGCAAAUAGCACACAAGUGACAGAAGAAGUGUGUUACAAAGUCCCCACAUGGAGCCUCCUGCAUCAAAAAUCUUACAUUAACUUGCAGUUAUAUUAGUAAUGGGGAAAGUUAAUUUAAGCAGAAAUUUAAAACCGUGGAGUUUAAUAAAAAAAAACAACAAUUGAUUCAAUAUUAUUUAUAUAAACAAAAUACGUAAAUAUGUUAAAUUUCCCCUUUCAACAUACAUCUCAUUUAGCAAACUUUAUAAUUAAUUGAAAACAUUAUAGUGCUAUAGGAACUAGGUGUUUGCCGUAAUUUUACGGGUAAUUAUAUUAUAUGAAGAAAUAUAUAUUAUGUUUAUAUUGUUAUAAUUUUUGAAUAAUAAUUAAAAUUAUUAUUGUCUAAACCGCAGUUUCAAUAUUUUAGUUUAUAUGAGGCGCAUGUACGGCCCAACAUAAGCAAAUCCUAAUUACAUAAAAUGUUAUUUUGGUCAUUUCACACAAUCACCACCAUUCUCGCUCCCAGACGCCACUUUUAGACUACGAAGAAGAAACCCUAGAGUCUCUCUCCCAAAACUCUAACCAUGGCCGAGAUACUCGUACCGAAGGGCAUUUUGCGGGGCCACACGGACAUGGUCACCGCCAUCGGCGUAUCGAGCGAUAAAUCCAUCAUCCUCUGGGAUAUCAACAAGGGCGGCAAGUCUUACGGUGUUGCUCAGCGUAGGCUCACAGGCCAUGCUCACUUCGUUGAGGAUGUGAUUCUCUCAUGGAACGGUGGCCAUGCUCUCUCCGGAAGCUGUGACGGUGAGCUCCGUAUUUGGAAAUUAGACACUGGUGCCUCCGUUAGAUUCGUUGGACACACGGAUGAAGUACUCUAUGUCGAUAUGUCUGAUGACCAACGUACUAUCUUAUCCGCGUCUCGUGUCUGUAAGUGCACGAUCUCUGAGCAAGACGAUGGUCACAAGGACUAUAUUAGCUGUGUUAGGUUUAUCCCUAACAGGGAUGAUGGGUUAAGCAUUGUUUCCGCUUCUUGGGAUGGCACCGUGAAAGUGUGGGAUGUCGACAACUGCUUUAACUGUAAGCUGAAUUACUCUCUCGUUGGACACUCAGCUUGCCGCACCACUCUGGCUGUCAGUCCUAAUGGUCAACUAUGUGCCCGUGGUGGCGUAGACGGUGCUAUCUUGUUGUGGACUUUAGCUGACGGAAAUAAAGUUUGCUCGCUUGAGGAUAAUUUAAUUAUCCACUCGCUUUGUUUCUGCCCGAACAGAAACUGGCUGUGUGCUGCGACGGAGAACGGUAGCGAGAGUGGUCAUAAUACUCUUGUUGACCUCUUCCAAGAGCAGCCUGUUAAAAAUGAAAAGACAUUCAGGGACAUUACGCAGGAAGUCAUGGAAAAACAUGAGCGGGAAGUUUUAUUCAGUGGUUCACAGUAUAGUGAUUAAGGAGCUUCAUCUAAGUUCUUCACGCACAAGACGUGAUGUAGAACUUGCUAUUCAAGAAAAAUUAAGGAAUGUAAAUAUGCCUCCUUUCAUCAACAAAGCCAUCCAGGUUAGAAUUAUAUUAUAACGGUAGAGCUGACUUGUCUUUCGGUUAUUUUAUUGCUGAAAAUACUGCUUUUUUUUUUUCAUUUAUACAGGAUAGACUUAAAGAAACUGUUAGGUCAACUGUUGCGGCAUGCACAUAAAUUGCUCGAUCAACGAUUGAGGAAUCCAUGGCUAUCCAAAUUCACGAGGAAUUUGAGACCUCAUUCAACAGUGACCUCCGGGUAAAAAUAUUUUUGUAGAGUACUGCAGUCUCAACCGCCGCUUGGUGAAAACGGUGUUGACCUCUUAUGUACCUGCCAUUUAUAAAUUUCAGGAAGCACUUAGGUGGGGUGUGGAGACCUCACUCCUACCUACCUUUGAGAGGUUAUGCCAGACCAUGUUUAAUCAAGUAGACGUAGCCAUGCGCGAUGGGAUUAACGAGUACUGUGGACACACCCAACUUACUCAAACUUUAAAGGUAAGAUGGAAAGUCAUCAUUCUUCCCAAGACUGGUAUAGUUUCAAAAUCUAGUCAUUUAUUUCGUCUUUCUAAAGUUGCUGCCCAAUAUGCAGGAUAUCGUUGGUUCUAUGUUGUCCAUAAGCGCUGAAUUUGACCAGAAACAGAAUAAGGUCUUAGCUCUCUUGGAAAAAUCUGCUGGAGCAAAUCCCUUGGUUACUCAAGGAAGUAACAGACCUUUGGGUCCUCUUCUUAGAAUGGUUUGUUUUCACAAUCUCUGGAACUAAUUCAUAACCAUGUGUUAGCUUGAUAUCACCAUUCUUUGGUUCUUUGCUUCGGUUUCUUCUCUGUUAUAUAACUUUUUGUGAUUGAGUCAGAGAGUGAAUAUAGAGAGAAUCAUUUCUGGUUCUGAUCAGUCUUUGUCUGAGUUUUGACAUUCACAACAUCUAUCCCUUUCAGGCCGGAUUACCUGUAACAGCAGAAUUAUCCAGCUUGAUAUCUGAAAGCAAGUACGAAGAGGCUUUCACUAGGGCUUUACUGGAAAGCAAGUCCGAUGUCAACAUAUUAUCAUGGCUUUGCUCAAAGGUGAGACUUUUCUUUUUACAUGAAUAAGAGACCUCAUAAGCAUCAGUUUGACACAAGAUUCCAUGAGAUUUGGUUUCAGGUGGAUCUGCAUGCACUGUUGGCCAAGAAUCCUCUUCCUCUGAGCCAAGGACUUCUUUCUUCUUUGUUGCAACACCUAAACAACGACAUCAGCGACAUGUCCCUUAAGCUUGCUUGGUUGAAGGAUAUGUGGCUGCAGCCAUUAAACCAUCAGUCCAGGUGGAAACAAUAGCAGAAAUGUAUUACCAGCCCAAAACCUCUUAGCCAUUUUUUUAAGAAAAAUAGACCUAGUCAAAGAUGAAAUUAAUUGGCAAGUAAAGAGAGAUCAUGUCAUAGCCACCAGUAUAUUCUAUGCCUUACCUUUUUUGGUACACAUCAAUUCUAGAGAAAAAACUUCUCAUUCGAGGAUCUACGACUUUCAGAAAAUGCUACUUUUGUCUGUCAACUUAUCAACCAUAUACACAAUUGAAAAUGAAAAACUAGAGUCGCUGCACAUCAGAAACACCAUGACUUAUAUUUCACUGUAGUCCAAUGUAGAAAAAAAAAAAGAUAUUGCACUCUACACAUAAGGAAAACCACUUAAUUAGCUAAAUGCACAUUUGGUGAUAACUUAGGAAUUGUCGACGUUUGUAGGACCAUUAUACCCCUACUGUGUUCUACAUGUAUUCUAUUUUCCCGAUGCCCACAGCUUUUUAAUACAUCCUAUUUCUGAUAAACCAAAUAUACACUAAUCUAUUUCUGUCCGACAACUUGAUAUAUUCUAAUGUUUUGGAUAAACCAAAUAGCCACUUUCUCUUAUAUAUAUUCAAUUGUUCCUUUGUUCAUUGAAUCGUAUCCGACAUAACUCUUCUCUUAAAAGUCAGUUUCGUUCUCUUCAAUUUCCUUAUGGACCCAAUCGGUAGUGAAACGCCGCCUCCAGAUUUCCCCGAAGAAUGUUCGCGACGGGGGAAGAACCAGUGGACAUUAGGGUUACUCCGUACCACAAACCUUCUUGUAUCUCCAAAAUUCUCAACGCCUUAUAAAAAGAAGAAAUCUCUGUCAUCAGAGCUUCUUCAUUUAGAAAACUACUAGCAGUUGCAGAGAAACCCUCGUUCUCCGGCUGGUUUGGGUGUUUCCUUAUUUCCAGUCGAUUGAAAGUUGUUAAGGAUAAAAAACAAACCGAUUUUCGGAUUGCUUAAGGAUUGUGAAGUGGAGGAGAAAGGGAGGGUCGAAGCCAGUUUCGAUUUGGAUAGGCUGCCGAUGGAUCUCCUUAAUUAGAAAGCUCAUCAUCAUCUCUGAUCCAAAAAAAAAUGACAACUCAAGGGAAAAGAUAGUAGCCGGAGGAUAACGUUAAAAUAAUAAGUUAUGAGGACAUGAAAUGUUGUGAUUUUACUUUGUCUCCUUGACCAUAUACUUUGCUAAGAGAAACAUUUGAGCUUUUUAACAGAUUUUCUUUACUCUGUUUUCUGAUACAAAAGCUUCACCCAAACAUACAUUAUGACUUCUCCCUUUUAACUUACUAGCAACAAAAGCAGGGAUGGGUUCUCUCACCAACUCCCACUAACACUAUACUAACCUUGCUUAGUAGUCUACUUUUACAAACAACUCAUACAACAUCACAACACUGUUACACCAACUCCUUAAGCACACAACUCUUGAUAACUAGAACUCCUUAGUUCGGUUUGAGAACAAAAUGACUUUACUCAACAUGAAAAGAUGUGAUCCGUUUGCUCCGCCAAUUCCGAUUCCCUCUGUAUUUACGAGGAGACACUUUGUUUUAUGUCCCAUGUUGUUUGGUGAUGCUUAAUUAAACUUGUACUCUGUUAUUCACUAGGCCUAAUGUACACACAUUUAAACAAGCUACUUUAUAUUACAUUUGUAUACUAUACAUUUUAGCUUCUGCACAGAUUUACAAAACGCUACUUUAUAAUAUAUUUGUAUAUCAUAUAUUUUAGCCGUCCACAGUCGCAACAUACGUUUCCCUUUGUUGUAUGAGUUUUAAUAAACGAUCAUGUUACAGUUCACUAUAACACAUACAUUAAUAAUUAUAACCGUAUACCCACAUUUAAACAAUGAUACUAUAUAGUUUAUAUGUAUAAUAUACGUUCUAGCUGUCUACAAUCUCACAUACGUUUACAUUGUUCUAUGGGUUGUAAUAAAUUGUCAAAUUUGUUGUUUCAACAAAUACCUUCUUGAACACUUAGGACCAUCUACUUAAAUUUAUAACACUCUAACUUUCUUAUUGGUUGCUAAUAUUAUCUUUAGCUGAGUUGUGAAUGUUUUAUCCGGUUAAAAACAUUUUUAAGCUUUUGUGUUUUGUUUUGUUGAAGCUAAUAUUAUCUUUAAAGAAAAACACUUACAGUUUUAGCCGCUACACCAUCAUGUAGCAUAACAAUCGCAAUUUGUAUAUGUUUGUCUAAUACAAUUUACAAGCGACAUUUCUAAUUCUGAAUGUUAAACUUCAUUUGACUAACAUGAAUUCAUCUCGUCUUAUAUUAUGUGAUUUACCUAACUUCAUUAAACUUCAUUUGACUAAUAUGCAACUAUUUUAUUUUAUAUAAAGCUAUGUACUAGAAUAUCUAUCUUUUGAAUUAUAAUAGCAUGUAAAUAAUAUUUUAGCAAUGUAAAUAUAAUCUAACCGUCCACGUACCACGUUUUUCUGACAAACAUUCAUUAGUCAGUUGACAAACCCUCAUCAAAUCCACCACCCGAACACGGCGAUAGAUAUCUGAUUCACGCGUUUGGAAUUAACUAGUUUCAAUAACUCGAGAGAUCGAACACAUGAACAUUUUGCUCUAAAUAUCUAAAUAAAAAAGGAAAAGAUUUAUUCGUAUGUGAAAGAAAUCAAGCCAUCUGAUAUGAAAACAGAGAUACAUGCAUAUUUUCAUAGUUUUCUUCUUCUUAAAUCUACUGAAGAAGAAGCGAACAAAAAAAAAUUAGAUUGAAUUUCUUUUAAAAAAAAUACGAACUUGCUUAAACAAGUCAUAGAAAACCAUCAGAGAAAACCAUCAAUCUAUGAACAAGAUCAUAGCAAAAUAUAGUAAAAAACAAAAGAAAGAACAAAUGGCAGCAAGCUUUUACAGUAGCUGACAAAAAAAAAAAAAAGCUUUUACGGUAAAAAAAAUAAAAAUAUGUUCUAGUGAACGGAAAAAUAAAUAUCUAGAGAGAAUACGUUUAUCAUUUAGUAAAUAUAUUUCAUAUCUUAAAGAUUAUCAAAAUAUAUUGCCAACUGUCGGAUACCAAAUAAAGCCUACUCCUCUCUCCACACCAAAACAUAGUGCUAGGGAUCUUCAUGUAAUUUCAUGUCUCCUUGUGCUACAGUAAUAAUCAAACUAUUACUGUUAUAGGUACUUAGCUAAUUUGCAACUUCUUUUUGGAUUUUCACCUAAUUGUCUCAAAAAAAAAGUAAUGCCCAGGCCCCCCCUUACAAACAAGAAUCUAUGUAAUCUCUCAAAACCACUGACAAUACAACAGUAAGAAGAAGUAAAAGAAUCCAUUACACAGUUCAUGGAAGACUAAAGAUAUGACCAAAUCUUUUAUGUACAAACCUGCUUUGUAUCAUCUCAAUCAUAGCUCCCUCAGGACUCUAACAGUUGGUGGACAAUCUGUUCUCUGACCAGCCAGCGAGUAAUACGCUAGUAUAUGAGCAGGAUGCUCCACCUCACUUACCUCUCCCAUUUCAUCCACUUCCGGGACUCUUCUUGCUUGAAUCAGCUCUAUGUUCCAGUACGGUCUAGACAUUACCCUCAGAUCUUGCCCUGUCUCUGAAGCUCUGUACCCUUGCACCCACAGGUAUCUCAGCGAAGGCAGCUCCAUCACCGCUGCAGCGAUCGCUCUCUCGCUGAAGCAACACCCUCUCAUCUCCAGCUUCUGCAUCUUCGGACAACACCCUUCUCUCGAGAACUCCACCAAUCCUUUGUCUGUCUCACCAACUUUACCGAGAAGCAUCCAUCUCACGUUUGGACUAUACUGUCCUACGUAGCCUAACCCCACGUCCGUCAAGCCGCCUGGCCUGAGAUAGAACGCGAACCGUCUGAGUUUCUCGCAUCCCAUCAAGAGUGAUCUGACACCACUAUCCAGCGGCAAAUCUGCUACUAUUCUCUCUUCCUGGUCGAGCAAGACAAGGCGGAAGUCGCGGAGGUUUUUCAGAUACGCGCCUAUGGUUCGGAGACACUCGUUGGUUAUGUCUGUCACGUACACCGCCAUGUACUCUAGCUCCUUGCAGCCGUGAGCCAAAGCCGUUAGUCCUCUCUGUGUGACUAAAUAUCCCAAGUCCUCAUUCCCAUCUUCAUCUGCACCUCGUCUUUCGUCAUCCAUCUCUUCUUCAUCGGCACCCCGUUCGAUCCUCAGCCGCUUUAACUUCUUACAGUACUUUGCAAGAACCUCUAGACCGUUGUCUCCUAUUACAUUCCUCGUCUGAGAUAUACACCAAGAACUUGUCAGCCUUUACAUACAUAAUAGUUCACAAAGAAGAAAAAGUUACCUCAAGAACUUCCAGAUUAGAACACUUUUGGAUUAGUUUACAAUGAUCAUUAGUUUCGAGAAACGCAUAGAGCAGAUCCAGCUUCCGGAGUUGAGCAGCGAAUGGAAACAGUAUCGGCAUUUCGUUAGCUCCCAAGUAAGGGAGGCCCAGACGAGUUAGCUUUGGAGGGAAAGUCAGUUUCAAGUACUUCUCAGGCGUUUCUGGAUCCUCAUCCAAGGCGCCACCGCGAAACUCCUCGAGGUUAACAGCAGCGUUAAAGAACCCGACUAGCUCCAGCAUCUCAAUGUCACCGACCUUGACAGAAACCAGAGAGCGGUGGCAGUUCCUAGCUAUGGUUUCCAAGUCUUUGGGGCUGAUUUUUGUAAACUCAGUCAUGUAGAAGUUUAACACCUCGAGAGACGUGUUGUGCAGGGCAAGCUCGUGUAGCCAUUUACCAUCCUUUUCAAGGAAAGAACUGUCGUCCAUCACCAACGUUUUGAUUUUCCUGUCACAGACAACAUACAGAACCAUGAAGAAAGUGAGAAAACAACUCAAGAUAAAUUAGAAUUUUCAACUUAAACUGCAUAUAUACAACAGCAACAACCAAGCCAAUACUAUUUUGUAAACGACUUGAUCAUAAAUAUGAACUCCCAUGGAAUGGAAAUAGUAAUGAUUCCUUACUACACAUUAUAAUCAAGUCUUAAUGCAAGAACGAGAUUAAUGAACAUGAACUCCCUGAGAUAACAUUUCUGCAGAGGGCAGAUAUAUUGGAUUUUCAAUUUAAACUGCAUAUACACAACAUCAACCAAGUCAAUACUAUUUUGUAAACUGCAUAUACCAAGUAUUGAUUUCCUUACCAGACUUUAUAAUCACGUCUUUUUAAACAUGGGACCUAAUGCAAGAACAAGUUCGUUAAAAUGAACACAUAGAGGCAAUCUUUCUGCAGAUAACAGACAUAAUCAAUCGAUCGUUUUUGCUAAUCAGACAUAAACAAAAGUGCAAAGUAAAGCAGGAAACCAAAUAAAGUAAGGUUAAGAGGUAAAAGUCGGUUGAAUAAUUCUGCAAUCUAUUUAUAAUCAUCACAAGUGUAAAGUAAGGAGGUCCUUUAUACAAGUAGGCAUCAAAGUUUCUACUUAACCAAUUGAACUAAAGAAACAAUCUUUAAGAUACGAUUCUUUGUAAAAGUAAACACCCAAAAUGCAGCAAUCUUGUUAUUAUCAAGCGGCGUCGUUAUGAAGAUAAAGAGAGAUGCAAAAUUAUGUGAUAAACCUCAAGAGACAAUCUUUCUAUGCAGAUGCCAUAUAUAAUCAAGUCAACACUAUUACGUAAACGACUAGAUUAUAAACAUGAACUCCCAAUGGAAUGAAAAUAGUAUUUGAUUCCUUAUUAUAUACACUUUAUAAUCAAGUCUUUAUAAACACGGCACCUAAAUGCAGAGAAGGAGAUUAAUAGACCCUAAACUCCCACUCCGCAGAGACAAUCUCUCUGAAGAUGACAAAUAAUCAAUCAAAUCAAUCUCAUACAUAAACAAAAGUGCAAAGUGAAGUAACAAAUCAAGUAACGUAAGGUAACUAACCAAUUGAGCUAGAGAAUCACUCUUUUUAACUAUACAAUUCUUUUGUAAAGACCUAAAACGCAGCAAAUCUUGUUCUUAUCAAAAACGGCGUCGUUACGAAGAGUAAUCUUGUGUUAGUUACCUGCAGUGUCUAACGACGCUCAAGAGCCCAUCGCUAGAGAACCCCAAGCACUUAUCAAGCUUCAGAGCCUCGAGCUCAUCCCCCCUCGCUCUCGCCAAAACAUCAAGAUCCAAGUCGUUAACGAUCAUCCUCCUGAAAUGCACGGACCUGAUCCUCCGCAGCGACAAGGCGAUCUCGUUCACCCAGGGGGUAACAAACCCUCCCCAAUUCUCCGGGAUGAGGUUGAACAUCGCGGCGCGGGGCUUCCCUUUGAGCUUGAGCGACCUCAGGUUCGGGAACCGAGCGCUGAGACGAUCGGGUGCGGAGGCGUAGCAUAGGGCCAUGGUGACGUGGUAUCUCGUCUCGGAGUCCGCUCUGAGCCACGUUCGGUUGACGAGGGAGGCGGAUUCGCGGUCUUUGGGGUCGGUUAAGUAAGGCAUGACUAGCGAGAUGACGUCAUCGGCGUUCCGCGGGGUUGAUCGAAGCUUCUUGGUAUCGGGAUCCUCCAUCGUCAAGAUUCGAUUCGUUUCGUCGAGCAACGGAUUGAAAGGAGGAGGAGGAGGAAGAAGAAGAAGGCAGAGAUUCGAGUAAGCAAGGACACGCGUCGGAAGAAGAGAUUGGGAGAGGAAUCAAUAUAAGAGAAUCUCUCUACUCUGUUGUUUGUUGAUAAUAUUUUAUUUUAUUUUAUUUUGGGAUCUAGUGGGCACACAAAAUAAUAUUUGAUUUUUGACCUUUAUAUUAUACAGUGUGUUACUGAAGUUAGACGACGAUAUUUGUAUCAGAGUGAUUUAUUUUCCAUUAUUAAUAGUUAACGUCUUAUAACUUUUGCGUACAUGUGGGUGAUUUAUUUUCCAUUAUCUAUCUAUUAUCUAUUCUAUUAAAAGAGAACCAUUCUAAAAAAAUCUACUUAUACAAGGUUACUGCACCCUUUCAUUUAAGUAACAAUUAUUUGGUUUUACCAUCUAUUAGCCCAAUAACAAAAUAUAACCUUAUGUUUAGCUAACUAUAUUUAUUACGCCUUAUCUAAACCAGUAGUAUAACAACUUUAUAUUUGAUAGACCAAAACAUGUUUUACACGAUAAUAUAAAACACGAUACAUGUUAUACACAAGACACUAUACACUAUAUAGUUUAUUCAUUGAGUCCUGCUCAUGUUGAUGACAGUUAUCUGUACAAUAAUCAUAUCACAUGUAUUCCUCUCUUAGACCCAAACGCCAAAUGGCAAUGCCUUCAUUCAAUUGAAAGACCAGAUCAUACCCUAACCUCGAUGAAACAACACAUUCAUUCUCAAUCUGCCAAAAUGAUUCAGAGCAUAACAUUACAUAUACUGUAUCAUUUUGAAUAAAACUUAUCUGGUAAAAUACUGUAUCAUUUUGAAUCAAUCUAAUAUGGCAAAGUAUUAGUGCUUAUACCAAGUCUCUUCUUUGAGAGGGUUCUUAGUUCGUUCUUAAUCUGAGAAGUUCGUUCUUUAUUAAUUCAUUCUUAUCUAUCAAAGUUAAAGUCUGUUUUUAAGAAAUCGGAUCAAGUUUAUAAUAACCACGUUAUCCUAACUAUAUAUAGUUAUAAUAUUUUCAAAUUUAGUAUUAACGACCAUAAGUUAUUAAUUUGCUAGCAUAAAUUUUUCUAACCUACUUUAACUGAAUAGAUUUUCGAAACAAUCUGUUCGAUACAAUUUUAAAUACAUAAAAACCGAAAUCUUAGAAUACUUGAUCUACAAGUUUCGUAUUAACUACAAUACAUGAUAAUUUUCCGUGCAAAAAAAUUAUGUUACCUACUUUAACUGGAUAAACAUUAUCGUGUAGAAUUUAUAUUCCAAUAAUAUUCCUUAUUCCUCCAACUAAAAAAUCAUAUCAGAUCUUAAUAUUCAACCUUAAAUAUGCGUAUCUUGUGCUAAGAACUGACCCAAACCCGAAAAAAUUUAUGAAUACCUAUUAGAUUCAAAUUUCUAGGAUCCGAAGGACCCAGAUCCGAAAAAAAUUGGACCAAACCCAACCCAAAGACUCAAACGUCCAGGCCUAAGUGUAUGAAUGAGCAUUCAGGUACCCAUUUGGGUACGAGUCAGUUCUUUAGGGUAUUAGAAUUUUUGAGUUCUUGGGUAGGGUUCGAGUCGGUCCUCCCAGAUACGGAUAUGUUCGGUUCUAAUGUAUAUGAACCUGAAAAUAACCAAAUAACCAAUGUAUCUGAAACAUGUUUGUCAUGUUUGUACUACCUGAACCGACCUAAUUUUAAAAUAUAACUAAUAUAUAUUUACAUUUGGAUAUCUUAGAAUACUCAUUCGGUUUUCGGUUUAGGUCGGGUAAUUUUUUUUUAAUCUGAAUUCUUCGAGUCCUCGACAUUUGGAUCCAAUUAGGUAUUUGAAAUAUUUUCGGUUAUAGUUCAGUUUGAUUCCUUUUGGAAUCGAGUCAAUACGAGUCCAUAAUUCAAAUAACCCUAAAAUACAUGUAAUUUGAGUACGUAAUAGUCUAGCUCAGUUUGGAUAUUUAGGAGCAAAAAAAAAAUUGAAAGUACCCGACCGAAAGACGAAAAAUACCUAAAAUACUAAUUCAUAUCCAACUUUAUUUAUAACCCAAACAAAAUCCGCGCUUUUGAAGCGCGGGUAAAAAUCUAGUUAAUAGUUAACAUCUUAUAACUUUUGCGUACAUGUGGACAAUGAACAAACAUGUGUACACAGAUAAUUAUAGCAUCCAUUUGUAGAACAAUUGUGAUAAUAUACAUGUGUACAUGUAUAACAACAAGCUCAUUUUAGAGUUACACAAAACAAUGAAAAUUCUAGAUAUAUUCAUGAGAAGUGAAAUAUACGAGUCUCAAAUUUUGAAGUUAACAACGACGGUGUCUUUGUCACCGUCUUCUUCAUGCUCUCCUCCAUUCUUGAUCCAAGGACGAAGACGAAGCAGCCGAAGAAUAAGAAGACAUGGCUCAAGUAGAACUUGUAUGGUUUCGACCCACGAGUCUAUGACUACAAGUCUACAAUUCUAAAACCUGCAAACCAUUUCAAAACUGUUCUGUUUCAGCUGUAUCCAUUUUUUUAUUCUCUUUGAUUUCAACACUCUGUUGUUUACGUCUCCGCAGCCAUCUCUAUCAUAUACGUCGAUGGCAUCUACAUCUCUGUCAUUAUCUAUGUCUCCGCCUUCUUCUACUUCUCCGCCAUCGUCUAUACGUCGAUGACGCCUACGUCUCCGCUAUUGUCAAUGUCACCAUUACACCACCAUUCAACCAUUAGCUUUGACAUAUCUCAAAAAACAGAUCAAAGAGUAGAGAUAAUAAUUUAAGGUAACAUUUUUGAAAAAACAAAUCUAGAGAAGUGGAUUUUAUUUUACAAAAAAAAUGGAAGAGAAAGAAAACGAAGAAGAAAGAGAAUGAUACUCACAAUGUCUUUUGGAUUUAUUGGUUAAGAAAUAUAUUAAAUUAAUUGAGAAAUAAAAAAGAGUAAUUUAGGAAUUUGGUGUGGUCUAUAUGUGAUGUUUAUUCUUGUUUCUUGUCCAAAACUGCCCUGAAAGCAAAAAGUGUUUUAUUAUGUUAUAAAAAACUUGAAACUGUUUUUGAAUUUGAAUGUAAUUCUUUCCUUGUAUUAUAUCAAGUAAAGCCAAUCUCUUUUGCUAAACGACUAUGUAAACAGAAUAUUAACAAGAUGUGGUUAUGCAAUGGAUGAUUACGUACGGCGUGAUGAUUAUUUAUUAGCUUAAUUCUGCGAUUAAUUUAAAACUUUUCUGGGGUUAAGGACAACGUUUUCUGUUGUUGAUAGCUAAAAGUAGUUUCCUGGUGGCCCAUAAUAGUUGGGGUUAAACUAUAUGAUUGUUAUGUAUGUAUGGAGCUAUGUGAAUUAUUAAAAAAAAUUGCAUGAUGAUGUAUAUAAAUCCAUAGAUGACUUCAUCAAACUGGCCAAUAAAAUACUAUCAAAAUUGAAUAUAAUUUGUGAAUUUUUAUGUAAAUAAAAGUUUCAUUUAAAUCAAUCAUAAAUUUUUAUGUUCUAAAAAUUGGUUUAGGUAUUGACUAUUGUCCGACUAGGCGGCACGGCAAAUUGGACCUAAAGGAUUUUUAUAGAAUGAUUUUUAAAAAAAAAAAUCGGUCUAAGCAUUCAAAAAAAUUAGUCUAGUCUUCCACCUAAGCAAUAAUCUUCUAUAAAGCAUUUAUUUUACCGCCUACAAUUUUUCGAAGAUUGGUCUUGGCAGUCCCGGCUCUAACCUAUGGCCACAUUGAUAAUUGCUAUGGAUCCAUGGAUCCAAACAAAAUUUUGGUAUUAUUUUACUAAUUAGAAAAUUCUAUUUUAAUUUGUUAAAUUAUCAAUUAGCUGGUGAAUUUAUAACAAAAAAGCUCAUGAUUAACAAAACCAAUUUUAAAUACAACAGGACAAUAUUUAUUUUUUUUAAACUUCACCGUUCUUAAUUUUUUUACAACAAAACCUAAUUUACACUUAAAGGUCCAUUUUUUUCUUUUAAUACCACAAAUUUUUUUUGCUCCAAUUUAAAGAAAUGCACUAAUUUUUUUGUUAAAAGGGUGUCUAUUUUAUGUUUGGCGUAAGGCCAUUAAAAUUUUUAAGACGGCACUGGUCUUGGUGUUAGGUUGAGAAACCAAAAUUGGGGAAGCUUUGCAACUUGAUGGUUCCUUGUGCUUUGACAGCACUUGACCAUUGGUCUCCACAAGUUAAAGUAAGUCCUUUGGUGUUGUAAUGGCAUUUUUCUCUUAUUAGUUGUAAACAUGAGGCCAUAUAGUGAAUGAGAAUAUGAUGUUCUUUGUUUGCUUUUGAUGACAGGGGCAGGGCAGGGUAAUAAGCUUUAUUCAUCUAAGCUAAAAAUGGUGAUCUUGGAUUGUAUGGAAACGUGUGGUUCUUGAUGCUUGUUGCCAGAAUAUAGCCUCAGAUGAUGAGAUGUGGAUACAUGUGGUGGAGUUAUCUGUGCUUCUUGUUACUAAACUCCAUCCAAAUAAUCCCGAAACAGUACAAGUUUUGUGAUCAAUCUUAUAUGUACUUUACCUUUGAAUGGUAUAACAACUACACCAACAUAAACUCUUGAAACCAUAUACACAAUUGAAAAUGAAAAAAUAGAGUCGCUGCACAUCAGAAACACCAUGACUUAUAUUUCACUGUAGUCCAAUGUAGAAAAAAAGUAAUGCCCAGGCCCCCCCUUACAAACAAGAAUCUAUGUAAUCUCUCAACACCACUAACAAUACAACAGUAAGAAGAAGAAGUAAAAGAAUCCAUUACACAGUUCAUGGAAGACUAAAGAUAUGACCAAAUCUUUUAUGUACAAACCUGCUUUGGAUCAUCAAUCAUAGCUCCCUCAGGACUCUAACAGUUGGUGGACAAUCUGUUCUCUGACCAGCCAGCGAGUAAUACGCCAGUAUAUGAGCAGGAUGCUCCAUCUCUCUCACAUCUCCUAGGUUCACUUCCGGGACUCUUCUUGCUUGAAUCAGCUCAAUGUUCCAGUUCGGUCGAGACAUUACCCUCAGAUCUUGUCCCGUCACCGAUUCUCUGUACCCUUGUACCCACAAGUAUCUCAGCGAAGGCAGUUUCAUCACCGCUGCAGCGAUUGCUCUCUCGCUGAAGCAACACCCUCUCAUCUCCAGCUUCUGCAGCUUCGGACACCCUUUUGAGAAUUCCAUUAGUCCUUCGUCUGUUUCACCAACGUAGCCAAGAAGCAUCCAUCUCACGUUUGGACUGUACUGUCCGAUGUAUCUUAACCCCACGUCUGUUAAGCCGCCUGGCCUGAGAUAGAAUGCAAACCGUCUGAGCUUCUCGCAUCCGAUCAAGAGGGAUCUGACUCCGUUGUCCAGCGGCAAAUCUCUUAUCCUCUCUUCCUGGUCGAGCAAGACAAGGCGGAAGUCGCUGAGGUUUUUCAGAUACGCGCCUAUGGUUCGGAGAGACUCGUUGCUUAUGUCUGUGACGUACACCGCCAUGUAUUCUAGCUCCUGGCAGCCCUUAGCCAAAGCCGUUAAUCCUCUCUGUGUGACAAAACCUCCCAAGUCCUCAUUCCCUUGUUCAUCUGCACCCCAUCUUUCGUCCAUCAUCCCUUCUUCAUCUGCACCCUGUUCGAUCCUCAGCCGCUUCAACUGCUUACAGCACUGUGCAAGAACCUCUAGACCCUUAUCUCCGAUCACAUUCCUCGUCUGAGAGAUACACACCAAGAACUUGUCAGCCUUUACAUACAAAAUAAAUAGUUCAUAAAGAAGAAAAAGUUACCUCAAGAACUUCCAAAUUAGGACACUUUUUGAUUAGUUUACAAUGAUCAUUAGUUUCGAGAAACGUAUAGAGCAGAUCCAGCUUCCGGAUUUGGGCAGCGAAUGGGAAUAUCAUUGGCAUUUCGUUAGCUCCAAAGUAAGUGAGGCCCAGACGACUUAGCUUUGGAGGGAAAGUGAGUUUGAUGUACUUGUCAGGUGUUUCAGGAGUAAAGGCGCCACCACAAAACUCCUCAAGGUUAACAGCAGCGUUAAAGAACCGGACUAGCUCCAGCAUCUCAACGUCACCGACCUUGACAGAGACCAGAGAGCGGUGGCAGUUCCUAGCUAUGGUUUCCAAGUCUCUGGGGCUGAGUUUUGUGAGCUCGGUCAUGUACAAGUUUAACACCUCGAGAGACGUGUUGUGCAGGGCAAGCUCGUGUAGCCAGUUACCGUCCUUUUCAAGAAAUGAACUCUCUUCCAUCACCAACGUUUUGAUAUUCCUGUCAAAGAAAACAGACGGAACAAUGAACCAAGUGAGAAAACAACUCAACAUAAAAUUGCAUAUGCACAACAGCGACAACCCAUUCAAGGAUACAUGAACUCGCAGAGACAAUCUUUCUAUGCAAAUGACAUAUAUAAUCAAGUCAACGCUAUUAUGUAAACGACUUUGAUUAUAAACAUUGAACUCCCAGUGGAAUGAAAAUAGUAUUUGAUUCCUUACUAUACUUUACAAUCAAGUCUCCAGAAACACGGCACCUAAUGCAAUGAACGACAUUAUAAACAUUGAACUCCCAGAGACAAUCUUUUUUGAUAGAACCCCCCGCCAAAGUUUCUAAUUCCACAACUGAUAAUUUUCUCAAGUUGCAGGCAUAACAAUGGCAAGUGUAAAGUGUAGCAAGGUCCUUUAUACAAGUAGGCACCAACGUUUCUACUUAGUCAACUUGUUCUUAUAAAAACGGCAUCGUUAUGAAGAUAAAGAGAGUUGCAAAAGUAUGUGAUAAACCUCAAGAACCAAUCGACAUUAUAAACAUUGAACUCCUCCAAAAGUGCAAAGUAUUAGCACGUAAGGUCCUCUCUACACAAGUAACUAACCAAUUGAGCUAGCAAAUCUUGUUCUUAUCAAAAACGGCGUCGUUACGAAGAGUAAUCUUGUGUUAGUUACCUGCAGUGUCUAACGACGCUCAAGAGCCCAUCGGUAGAGAACCCUAAGCACUUAUCAAGCUUCAGAACCUCGAGCUCAUCCCCCCUCGCUCUCGCCAAAACAUCAAGAUCCAAAUCACGCACGAUCAUCCUCCUGAAAUGCACCGACCUGAUCCUCCGGAGCGACAAGGCGAUCUCGUUCACCCAGGGGGUAACGAACCCUCCCCAAUUAUCGGGGAUGAGGUUGAACAUCGCGGCGCGAGGCUUCCCUUUGAGCAGGCCCGGCUCAAAAGAAUUUUGGGCCCUUGGCAAAAUAAUCAAAAAUUUUUUUUUUUACAUAAUUAUAUGAUAACUUAAAAAUUUCGGGCCUUAUCUUCAAUUUUUUUAAAAAUAUUGGGCCCCUUUUCAAUACUAUUUAUGCAAAAAAUCUUUUGGGCCCUAGGCCAAUGCCCCUUUGCCCACCCUCCUGAGCCGGGCCUGAUGGAAGAGAAAGAAAACGAAGAAGAAAGAGAAUGAUACUCACAAUGUCUUUUGGAUUUAUUGGUUAAGAAAUAUAUUAAAUUAAUUGAGAAAUAAAAAAGAGUAAUUUAGGAAUUUGGUGUGGUCUAUAUGUGAUGUUUAUUCUUGUUUCUUGUCCAAAACUGCCCUGAAAGCAAAAAGUGUUUUAUUAUGUUAUAAAAAACUUGAAACUGUUUUUGAAUUUGAAUGUAAUUCUUUCCUUGUAUUAUAUCAAGUAAAGCCAAUCUCUUUUGCUAAACGACUAUGUAAACAGAAUAUUAACAAGAUGUGGUUAUGCAAUGGAUGAUUACGUACGGCGUGAUGAUUAUUUAUUAGCUUAAUUCUGCGAUUAAUUUAAAACUUUUCUGGGGUUAAGGACAACGUUUUCUGUUGUUGAUAGCUAAAAGUAGUUUCCUGGUGGCCCAUAAUAGUUGGGGUUAAACUAUAUGAUUGUUAUGUAUGUAUGGAGCUAUGUGAAUUAUUAAAAAAAAUUGCAUGAUGAUGUAUAUAAAUCCAUAGAUGACUUCAUCAAACUGGCCAAUAAAAUACUAUCAAAAUUGAAUAUAAUUUGUGAAUUUUUAUGUAAAUAAAAGUUUCAUUUAAAUCAAUCAUAAAUUUUUAUGUUCUAAAAAUUGGUUUAGGUAUUGACUAUUGUCCGACUAGGCGGCACGGCAAAUUGGACCUAAAGGAUUUUUAUAGAAUGAUUUUUAAAAAAAAAAAUCGGUCUAAGCAUUCAAAAAAAUUAGUCUAGUCUUCCACCUAAGCAAUAAUCUUCUAUAAAGCAUUUAUUUUACCGCCUACAAUUUUUCGAAGAUUGGUCUUGGCAGUCCCGGCUCUAACCUAUGGCCACAUUGAUAAUUGCUAUGGAUCCAUGGAUCCAAACAAAAUUUUGGUAUUAUUUUACUAAUUAGAAAAUUCUAUUUUAAUUUGUUAAAUUAUCAAUUAGCUGGUGAAUUUAUAACAAAAAAGCUCAUGAUUAACAAAACCAAUUUUAAAUACAACAGGACAAUAUUUAUUUUUUUUAAACUUCACCGUUCUUAAUUUUUUUACAACAAAACCUAAUUUACACUUAAAGGUCCAUUUUUUUCUUUUAAUACCACAAAUUUUUUUUGCUCCAAUUUAAAGAAAUGCACUAAUUUUUUUGUUAAAAGGGUGUCUAUUUUAUGUUUGGCGUAAGGCCAUUAAAAUUUUUAAGACGGCACUGGUCUUGGUGUUAGGUUGAGAAACCAAAAUUGGGGAAGCUUUGCAACUUGAUGGUUCCUUGUGCUUUGACAGCACUUGACCAUUGGUCUCCACAAGUUAAAGUAAGUCCUUUGGUGUUGUAAUGGCAUUUUUCUCUUAUUAGUUGUAAACAUGAGGCCAUAUAGUGAAUGAGAAUAUGAUGUUCUUUGUUUGCUUUUGAUGACAGGGGCAGGGCAGGGUAAUAAGCUUUAUUCAUCUAAGCUAAAAAUGGUGAUCUUGGAUUGUAUGGAAACGUGUGGUUCUUGAUGCUUGUUGCCAGAAUAUAGCCUCAGAUGAUGAGAUGUGGAUACAUGUGGUGGAGUUAUCUGUGCUUCUUGUUACUAAACUCCAUCCAAAUAAUCCCGAAACAGUACAAGUUUUGUGAUCAAUCUUAUAUGUACUUUACCUUUGAAUGGUAUAACAACUACACCAACAUAAACUCUUGAAACCAUAUACACAAUUGAAAAUGAAAAAAUAGAGUCGCUGCACAUCAGAAACACCAUGACUUAUAUUUCACUGUAGUCCAAUGUAGAAAAAAAGUAAUGCCCAGGCCCCCCCUUACAAACAAGAAUCUAUGUAAUCUCUCAACACCACUAACAAUACAACAGUAAGAAGAAGAAGUAAAAGAAUCCAUUACACAGUUCAUGGAAGACUAAAGAUAUGACCAAAUCUUUUAUGUACAAACCUGCUUUGGAUCAUCAAUCAUAGCUCCCUCAGGACUCUAACAGUUGGUGGACAAUCUGUUCUCUGACCAGCCAGCGAGUAAUACGCCAGUAUAUGAGCAGGAUGCUCCAUCUCUCUCACAUCUCCUAGGUUCACUUCCGGGACUCUUCUUGCUUGAAUCAGCUCAAUGUUCCAGUUCGGUCGAGACAUUACCCUCAGAUCUUGUCCCGUCACCGAUUCUCUGUACCCUUGUACCCACAAGUAUCUCAGGGAAGGCAGUUUCAUCACCGCUGCAGCGAUUGCUCUCUCGCUGAAGCAACACCCUCUCAUCUCCAGCUUCUGCAGCUUCGGACACCCUUUUGAGAAUUCCAUUAGUCCUUCGUCUGUUUCACCAACGUAGCCAAGAAGCAUCCAUCUCACGUUUGGACUGUACUGUCCGAUGUAUCUUAACCCCACGUCUGUUAAGCCGCCUGGCCUGAGAUAGAAUGCAAACCGUCUGAGCUUCUCGCAUCCGAUCAAGAGGGAUCUGACUCCGUUGUCCAGCGGCAAAUCUCUUAUCCUCUCUUCCUGGUCGAGCAAGACAAGGCGGAAGUCGCUGAGGUUUUUCAGAUACGCGCCUAUGGUUCGGAGAGACUCGUUGCUUAUGUCUGUGACGUACACCGCCAUGUAUUCUAGCUCCUGGCAGCCCUUAGCCAAAGCCGUUAAUCCUCUCUGUGUGACAAAACCUCCCAAGUCCUCAUUCCCUUGUUCAUCUGCACCCCAUCUUUCGUCCAUCAUCCCUUCUUCAUCUGCACCCUGUUCGAUCCUCAGCCGCUUCAACUGCUUACAGCACUGUGCAAGAACCUCUAGACCCUUAUCUCCGAUCACAUUCCUCGUCUGAGAGAUACACACCAAGAACUUGUCAGCCUUUACAUACAAAAUAAAUAGUUCAUAAAGAAGAAAAAGUUACCUCAAGAACUUCCAAAUUAGGACACUUUUUGAUUAGUUUACAAUGAUCAUUAGUUUCGAGAAACGUAUAGAGCAGAUCCAGCUUCCGGAUUUGGGCAGCGAAUGGGAAUAUCAUUGGCAUUUCGUUAGCUCCAAAGUAAGUGAGGCCCAGACGACUUAGCUUUGGAGGGAAAGUGAGUUUGAUGUACUUGUCAGGUGUUUCAGGAGUAAAGGCGCCACCACAAAACUCCUCAAGGUUAACAGCAGCGUUAAAGAACCGGACUAGCUCCAGCAUCUCAACGUCACCGACCUUGACAGAGACCAGAGAGCGGUGGCAGUUCCUAGCUAUGGUUUCCAAGUCUCUGGGGCUGAGUUUUGUGAGCUCGGUCAUGUACAAGUUUAACACCUCGAGAGACGUGUUGUGCAGGGCAAGCUCGUGUAGCCAGUUACCGUCCUUUUCAAGAAAUGAACUCUCUUCCAUCACCAACGUUUUGAUAUUCCUGUCAAAGAAAACAGACGGAACAAUGAACCAAGUGAGAAAACAACUCAACAUAAAAUUGCAUAUGCACAACAGCGACAACCCAUUCAAGGAUACAUGAACUCGCAGAGACAAUCUUUCUAUGCAAAUGACAUAUAUAAUCAAGUCAACGCUAUUAUGUAAACGACUUUGAUUAUAAACAUUGAACUCCCAGUGGAAUGAAAAUAGUAUUUGAUUCCUUACUAUACUUUACAAUCAAGUCUCCAGAAACACGGCACCUAAUGCAAUGAACGACAUUAUAAACAUUGAACUCCCAGAGACAAUCUUUUUUGAUAGAACCCCCCGCCAAAGUUUCUAAUUCCACAACUGAUAAUUUUCUCAAGUUGCAGGCAUAACAAUGGCAAGUGUAAAGUGUAGCAAGGUCCUUUAUACAAGUAGGCACCAACGUUUCUACUUAGUCAACUUGUUCUUAUAAAAACGGCAUCGUUAUGAAGAUAAAGAGAGUUGCAAAAGUAUGUGAUAAACCUCAAGAACCAAUCGACAUUAUAAACAUUGAACUCCUCCAAAAGUGCAAAGUAUUAGCACGUAAGGUCCUCUCUACACAAGUAACUAACCAAUUGAGCUAGCAAAUCUUGUUCUUAUCAAAAACGGCGUCGUUACGAAGAGUAAUCUUGUGUUAGUUACCUGCAGUGUCUAACGACGCUCAAGAGCCCAUCGGUAGAGAACCCUAAGCACUUAUCAAGCUUCAAAACCUCGAGCUCAUCCCCCCUCGCUCUCGCCAAAACAUCAAGAUCCAAAUCACGCACGAUCAUCCUCCUGAAAUGCACCGACCUGAUCCUCCGGAGCGACAAGGCGAUCUCGUUCACCCAGGGGGUAACGAACCCUCCCCAAUUAUCGGGGAUGAGGUUGAACAUCGCGGCGCGAGGCUUCCCUUUGAGCAGGCCCGGCUCAAAAGAAUUUUGGGCCCUUGGCAAAAUAAUCAAAAAUUUUUUUUUUUACAUAAUUAUAUGAUAACUUAAAAAUUUCGGGCCUUAUCUUCAAUUUUUUUAAAAAUAUUGGGCCCCUUUUCAAUACUAUUUAUGCAAAAAAUCUUUUGGGCCCUAGGCCAAUGCCCCUUUGCCCACCCUCCUGAGCCGGGCCUGCCUUUGAGCUUGAGCGACCUCAGGUUCGGGAACCGGCGGGCGAGGCGAUCGGGUGCGGAGGCGUAGCAUAGGGCCAUGGUGACGUGGUCUCUCGUCUCCGAGUCCGCUCUGAGCCACGUUCGGUUGACGAGGGAGGCGGAUUCGCGGUCUUUGGGGUCGGUUACGUACGGCAUGACUAUCGAGAUGACGUCAUCGGCGUUCCGCGGGGUUGAUCUGAGCUUCUUGUUAUCGGGAUCCUCCAUCGUCGUCGUCCGUCGUCAAGAUUCGAUUCGUUUCGUCGGAGAUUCGAGUAAGCAAGGACACGCGUCGGAAGAAGAGAGUGGGAGAGGAAUCAAUAUAUAAGAGAAUCUCUCUACUCUGUUGUUUGUUGAUAUUAAUUUUUUUUUUUUUUGGGAUCACAGAAUAAUAUUUGAUUUUUGACCUUUUUAUAUUAUAUACAGUGUGUUACAGAAGUUAGACGACGAUAUUUGUAUUUAUAUCAAGUAAAGCCAGAUCUCUUUUGCUAAACGACAAUGUAAACAGAAUAUUAACAAGAUGUGGUUAUGCAAUAUGGAUGAUUGAUUACGUACGGCGUGAUGAUUAUUUAUUAGCUUAAUUCUGCGAUUAGUUUAAGCUUUUUUGGGUUAAGGACAAUUUUUUCUGUUGUUGAUAGCUAAAAGUAGUUCCCUUGUGGCCCAUAAUAAUUGGGGUUAAACUAGAUGAUAACAAUGAUUGUUAUGUAUGCAUAUUACACCAUCUCCAUCAAUAAGAACCUCUUAUGGACUCUAAUCAAUAAAUUAGUAAUAAAUAUAGUGAUUUGAAAGGUUUAAAACUUUUGUUAAUUUAAUUUAAGUUUUUCUCGUCCAAUGGUAGAACCUCAUUGAGGUUCUUAAAAAACAAAAUUAUUUUUCUAAAAUUAGAAUGAUUUGAUUUCAUAACAUGAAAAACAUAAAAAAAAUAUUAAAAAAGACAUUACAACAUAUUGAAAAUACAAAUACUAAUCGUAAACGAGAAAAAACCGAUUAGUCGAAAUCUUGAUUUGUUCCAAAUUUUUGCUAGAUGUUCUCAACCAAAAUUUUGCCAGAUGUUCUCAACGAAAUCAGCUUUCAAUUGUUGAUAUAUUUUGUUAUCACGGACUCGACUCCGAAUGCUCAUUAUAUUCCCGAGAUUUGAAGGCAUAUCUGAUGAAAACUCGAAAUUCACUUGUGAAUUUCGGUUUGAUUCCGGUUGUUCGAAACAAACCAUUUCACCAACAAGUUCCCACAAUAUUUUGGGAAAUUUUUGGUGAAAUGGUUUGUUGCAAGGGUAAGAGAAGCACAGGAGAGUUGGUGAAAUGGUUUGUUGCAAGUGAAACACAAUAUUUUAGGAACUUGUUGUUUUAGGUGAAAUGGUAAGAGAAAUGGCAAAGUUUGGAUGUUGUUUUCUUUUACAGUCGGAAGAGAAAUAAACAAAGGAAACACAUCUCAAAAGGGUUCUUGAAACACAACUCAAACUCGCUUGCUUUACAACAUACAAAUUUUGAACUUAUAAAGACAAGGAAACACAUGUUGCUUUAUAACUUGCAAGUCACAUGAUACAGUCAAUAAAGACAAGGAAAAACAUGUUCUUUUACGUUCAGGCAGGAAGAGGAAAAAAACAGAACAUGAGCAUUUCUUCUUGUCUUCUUCAUUACAUGACAUGGGAACACAACUUGCACCUGCCAAAAAAUUUGAUCAGAGACCAUACAGAAGCACGAGACAAACAGAGCAACAGAAUACACAACUUGCACUCACAACAUGACCUGCAGAAGCACGAGCCAAACAGAGCAACAAAAUACACAAGUCUCAGUAUAGGCUUCAGCCUUAGCUCCAGAGAUGUUUAAUUGUCUUUCUAAUUGUCUUCCACCUGCUAAAAAUGUGAUCAGAGACCAUACAGACAAAGAGAGCAACAUAAUACAGUUAUCACACAAGACAAAGGUGUGAUUUAACUUAAGCCAAAAGAAAGUGUUCUCAAUGGAUCAAAUGAUAGAGUAUGGUUACUUACAAGAAACACAUAGAUUGUAGUUGCCACUGAUGCUCCAAUGAAACCUUCCCAUGUUUUCUUAGGAGACAAUUUUAUCAAAGGAGUCUUCUCAAAAUAGAAACCAACGAAGUAAGCUGCUACAUCGUUCAUAGCAAUAAGCUCUGCUGGAAGAAGAAACCGGCAUACAUACAUCCAUUUAAUAAACAUGUUGCUAUAUGUUUCAGAGAUAUAUAUAAAAACUCAUGUGUAUCAACCGAGGAACCCAAGAUCAUCAUCAUAACUUGUUAAAAUCAACCAACACUAACUCGGUUUCUAUGCAAAAGAUUCGAUUUUUUCCAACAAACACACGAUAAUCUACUAGUAAAAUAUUUCACCUUCCUCAAGAUCAUCAUGCAAAAUCAUCAUCGACAUUAAUUUUUACAGACAGUUUUUCUACAGAGAAGAGAAAGGGGUGUUCGCACUUAUCUCGCCUCUUGUAUAACUUUCAUCCUUUCCUCGAUGUUUCUCUUGAAGCUGAUUCAUGUGAAGAACUUCCUUCUGUCUUCUGAUCUUCAUCAGAGCAUCAACGCAUGGGAGGAAACGACAUCGACACCGCAUUGACGAAAACAGCGAAUCGAGUGCCGAUUGGCUUCGGAAUCGACAAAGAAUGGACAGCGAAGGAUAUCGACAGAGAAUCAAUGGAGAAGAUGGAGAGAUCGAGCUUUGGAGGAGGAAGAGAAACAAAAGUGAUUACGGGAGAAAACCCGACGGAGGAGAGAGACACGUUAAGUUGUGGUCGAAUAAGAGAGUGCCACGUAGGGGUCCUUACCAAACCUAAAAAUCCUAAUUUAAACACCGGUCCUCUCUUUUAUUUUCAUUUUUCAUUUAUUUUUCUCCUAUUUUUUCUAAGAAACCUAGCGUAAGAAGCCACGAUGGACCUGCUCUUAGUUUGUAUGAACUAUUGAACAAGAAUACAUAUUGCAUGAUGAUGAUUUCAUUUAAAUUGACCAAUAAAAUACUAUUAAUAAUUGAAUAUGAUUUGUGAAUUUUUUUACGUAUAUAAAGUUUCAUUAAAAUCAAUCACAAAUUAAUAAACUAAAUGACAAAAAUAUUUUGUUGGAUUUGACAGUGAAAAAGACACUCAAAGAAUGUAACUCAAGAUUCUACUCCACACAAACCAAAACAGCACAAGAAAUAGAUGUACGUACACCUUUGUGAUUUAUCAUAGGGAAAAUUGGAAAAAUGGGACACUCUCAACUUUUAUUUGUCCUUUUAGUACUUCUGAUAUUUUUAGCAAUUCUAGACAUGUUUUACCCUUCUUUUAUGGGAAAAGUAGUAAACUGAAUUUUAAAAAUGUAAAAAAAUAUUAAGACUAUUGGAAACAUAAGUAUGACAAUAUAUAUGCUUAAUUUUUUUUUUUGAAAAAAGUUGAAUCAUAUUUUAUUUUAUUUUCUAGCUACAGUUAGAAAACACAUUCUAGUAAUCUACUUAAUUUAGAAAUCGGAUACUAAGUUUUAUACAUAGAUAUAUCCAGGGUAUAUAGCGUAAACUAAUAUUUCUUAUAUAUUCUAACGAAACUAUAAUCUGUUACGUUAUAAUCAAGAAAAUUGUCUUCAAUCUACCUACAGCUUGAUAACGACAUAUAGCUACAACGCAAUGAUAUACCUUAUCUAUAUUAUUUGUCAUAAUAUGUUCUGCCUUUUACCUUAUGUGACGCUUAAUGAAGAAUGUGUUUCUCAUCUACUCUACUAUGUUCUGCGUAAGGUAGGCUACAUAUUCUAGACAAAUCCGAAAAAUAUGGAAACUUCCAUAUUUGGUUAAAGAUGUUUCCUAAAUCUAAACUAAAUCUACCCUAAAUCUCUCAUAGAAUAUUUUCUCCCACGUUUUUCUCCUACUCCCACGAUCUUUCUCCGAUCUUUUCCUCUUCGUACUGGUGUAAAUCAAAAGGAACAAUUUGAACAAGGAGCCGUGUUGUUGAGGCUGAUAGCGUUAAAAAACAAAAACAAAAGAGACUCUGCUGGGGAUCGAUCCCAUAAUCUCUGGUUGUGUGAUAUAUCGUAGACCAGUGCCUUAUCCAUUGGGCCACAAAGUCUAAUUGUUUGUUGUAUGAUAUAUUUAGCUUAUAGACCUUUUAAACCCAAUUAAAGAACAUAGAGAAGAAAUGAACCAAAAUCUAGUUUGAACAAUUCAAAGGUGUAUGAAUUCCCAAAACUUAAUUUCUCAAAAGUCAAAACUGAACUGAAACAAAUCUAGACUGAACACAGUUGAACGAUACAUCAUACAGAAAAAAAAAAUUUAAACUUUGUAACAGAAGAAAGAUUCAUAUUCAGGAAAACAAAUAGAAAAUCACCAGAAACUUAGGUACAUCCUCAGAAACUCCUAAAGUUAAAGAGACAACUUAUUGGCACUUAUUGACCCUACGGAAGAUGAUAAAGUAUUGUCUUUUGAGAAAAUAAGAGAAAUGUGCGAUGCAAACAUUCGUUAUAAACCUUGUUUAAUCCUCAAACAAUGCCUUCUGCAGUUUUCUCUGCCUGUAGCUUCUUAGGACGGGUACCUUCGGCUUUAUCUUCCUCAUAAGCUGCAACAUGAACUCCAAGAGCCGCACAACCCGACAGGUCAAGGUUCUGUGACCAAGCAGCGUCCCAUUCCACAGCCUUCGCUGUACUACAUGGUACACUUGGACCUCCUGGCACAGUAGCUCUAGCAGCGCUCUGCUCAUUAUAUGUACAUAUCAGAGCAAAGAUCAAAGACAGUUCAGGCAAAGAAUGAAGUAGAACCUUAGGGAAGAAUUUUCCAAAGAUGGCUCUGUUUGAAAACCUUCGGUAGAUAAGGAUUCUUCUCAUCAUCAAAAGCAAUGCGUAACACCCAUUUCUCGAUCCUUUCGAUGUCAGGCCUGAUCUGCAAUGUGGUUUAGACCAGAUCUUACAUCAAACUGUGAAGGGACCGUCCGACGAAACCUGUAGUGAGAGAAGAAUACCGUCCGACGAAACCGUAGAGAGAGAAGAGGACCGUCUGACAAACCAAAGAACAAAUCCCCAAUUCGCUGAAUUGUAUCUGAGAACAAAGAGAAGAAAGAUAAAAACGAGAUUAGAGACAAAAAAAUUGAUGAUUUACGAUGAAAAAAAUAAGGAUUCUCCGCUUACCCUAAAUUGACAUUGAAAGGGUUGAAGGCUUGAAGGUACACGGCGGAGAAGAAGAGAAGUGAAAAAAUAUUAGGGUAAACAAGUUUUUAAUCCUUUUGUGGUUUUUUCUUUUUUUUUAAUUAAAAUUUAAAUCAAUUACGAAUUAAUUUAAAUUUUAAUUAAGGUUAAUUUGGUUAAUUAUAAGGGUAUAAUGGUAUUAAAGAGAAUAUAAAUCUUAUUUACCUAAAUAAUCCUCUACAAGUCUUAUUGGAACAAAUCUAAGAUUAAAGUGUCUCAUUUUUCUAAUUUUCCCUUUAUUAAAUCAUCUACAAGGGUCUAGACAAACAUCAUUCUCUGGCAAGCUUGAGCAAACUUGUGCUCUCUCUAUUACAUCAUUUUGUAACUAGAAGAUUGUCUAUCAUACCCUCGUUAAAUCUUCUACAAGAGGUAGAUUUUUUUAACAAAAACGAUUGGGAAAAAAAAAGAAACACACUACAAAUGACUACUACACUUGAUCUCAUUUGAAAUGCUUAAAGAAGCUCCACAUUCUCAACAUAAUACGUAUACACGCUUUGACCACUCAAGCGUUGCAGCAUCUCGAAGAACCCACAGCUUAAAACUUUUACAUGAUCGACUAGCAUAGCCAGAAUUUUCCGAGGACAUAAGCAAACCUAAUCUGCCAUUGUAGUUUAUCAUAGUUGUUGAAUGAGGCAGUGCUUUAUUGAAACCUCCCAAGAGCGUCACAGAGCUGAACUUCUCAGACCUCAAAUCAAAACAAACUACCAUAGAUUCUCCUGAAGAAGGCCCAGAUUCUGUAGCUAUAUAGUACAACACGCCACUGAUGCAAAUCCACUUACCAGAAGAACAGUGUGGGAUGCAACAUUCGACCGCCCUCCAUGACAAUCUGUUGGUUCCUAAUGUCAGAACAUGGAGCUCCUUACCAUCAUCACGUAAAAGACAAUACCUUGAACUCUUUAGCAAUGGGGUCAUAUCCAAGAUAGCUUUCCAUUUCCACUCCAUAAUUCUCUUUUGAGUUCAAUCUUGGUAAUGUCAAGAACUGUCCUGUGCUGGGGUUACAUAUCACCAUGACAAGCACUGUUUUGUUCCUGCCCAGUUUAGCUCCAUAACAGAAGAAUCCAUUGGUACAACCAAAUAACAAAAUACUUAAUGACUCAAGUUUCUCUCUGUGAAGAAGAAAGAGAAAGACAUUAAACUUAUCUUAUACUAACAAAAUACAGUUUAGAACUUAGCCACAAAUUCUACAGAAAUGUCACAUUCACCAGACCGAAACAACAAUCUACCAGAAAUGUCGAUUUUACAAAUUGCAGAAGAAAUGAGGCAAAUCUUUGUACACAUAAAUGUUUUCAGCAUUUCUUACCUCGAAAUUCACUGUCACUAGGUUGAAUUUUUGGACUCGGUUCGUAAAUCGCAGUUAGGGUUUAGAACUAUCCCCAAAAUCAUUUUGUCGGGGAAGAACAGAUAAAAGAGAGUGCAGUAAUAAAUUUAAAACCUUAGCAUUUUGAAUCAUCUUUACAAUUAUGUUUUGGAGUAUCGUAUUAUGUUUUAAGAUAAGGUUUGUGGGUUAGGUUUAAGGUUUUUUCUUAAGAUUUGGAAAAUAUACAAGUGUUUGAUUUUCUGAUUAUAUUCAAUUGUAUUUUUUAAUUAUUCUUUUUUUAUAAAUGUUGGAUCUUGACAUAUUUUUAUAUAUUUUAGAGUUUAUAAUCAAAAUUUAUAUUUUAUGAAUAAUGAUCAAAUGUUUAGAGUAUGCUUAGGGCUUAGAGUUUAGAAAAGAAAAGAAAAAUAUAUUUUUCAAAAAUAUGUCACUACUAUUGGAUUUUCUCCCCUGUUAUUUAUUAUUUUAUCUUUUAGAGUUUUUGAAUUGUAUAUGAAAUUUAGAGUUUAGAGUAUGAUUAGGGUUUGGUUUAAAAAAUUCAGUUUCUACGAAUAGCCACGAUUUCGAUUGUGGAAAAAUAUUCUCCAAAUUAUAUCAUGGAUAGUUAUAGAUACUUAUGUCCACAAUUUACUUUGUAGCAAGUUGUGAUUUGAUAUCCUUAAAUAGCCACAAAAUAAUAUCCUUAAAUAGCCACAAAAUAAAAUUUGUAGCUAAUUAGCCACAAAAAAUUACAUAAUAGCUACAAAUUUUCAUUUGUGGAAAUUUUGUGGAAAUUAUGUUCUAACCACUAAAGAUUUGUAGCUAAGUUGUGGCUAAAAUCAGUUUUUUCUUGUAGUGACCUAUGAUUUCUCCAUAGUAUCAUGGCUUUGCUCUCAAGUGAGAUUUUUUUUUACAUAGUAAGACCUGAUAAGCAUCAUCAGUUUGACAUAAGAUCCCAUGACAUUGGUCUCAGGUCGAUCUUCCUUCGCUAUUGGAGAUGAAUCCUCUUUCUCUGACACCAUCCGUGCUUUUGUCAUUGCUGCUUCAUCUAGCCGGCGACAUCAACAAGGACACAUCAUGUAAGCUUGCUUGGAUGACGUGUGUGGCUUCAAUAUGCGGUCCCUCAAUCUUUGAGCAAAUCAGUAAGAAGAUUAUGCACCCUAAGCAGCGCCGUCAGAGUUUUAAAGCACGUCAUCAUGUCUUUGCAAUCGGCCUGCAAAUGAUACAAUCUCUUAUCUUUUUUUCCUCAUCUUGUUUGUUUCGGUGCUUAUAGAAAAACAAAAAAUCAUAGGAAGACCUCUACUAUUUAAAGGCAUCUCUAUUUUUCUGUUAGGUUUUGAUUAUCGUUUUUUCUUUUUGGUUUUGAACUUUUAAAAACAAGCAAUUACAUGGACGUGCAUCCUUAGAGCAUGUUUAUCGGUAGUUUCUUGACACAAGUUCCUAAGAUUAAAAAAACUAAAAUAUUAGAAAGUUAAGAAAGAGAAAAUUGAAAAGCUCUUAACUAAACAUUUUAAGAAACGGUUCCAACAGUGACACACAUAUGUGUCACCUAUAUAUUGGUGAUGUUUUAUAAAAAAAAAAACUGAAAAGUAAAUUCAUUAGUAUAAUAUUAAUAUUUUUUUUCUUUCAGAAUCUUUUACAGCGUUGAACAUACUCUUAGUUGUAAGAGCACCCGCAUUGAGGGUUUAUGGGGGGAGUUCACACAGAAAUCAAGAAAAAAAAUAAUAAAAUAAUUCAAUCCCAUGAACCCCUCUCUCCUAAAGCUCUUUGGGAUGAACCCCUGUCUCCUAAAGUUCAUCACUGUAGCGCGGGCCCCACAUGUCGUGGCGGUCCGCGAUUGGUCUAGAUUUUUUUUCUCUUUUUUAAAAAAAAAAUCAAAAAAAAAAAGAAAAAAAAUUUAAUAAUAAAAAAUUGAAAAGAUAGAACCCCAAAAGGGGGUUCAUUGACGUGGGUGCUCUAGGAUGUAACAAGCAAUUAGAUAAUCUCAUUUACUCCAUGAAACCAUCAUCAAAGUUUCAAUGGGAGCUAUUCCCCACUAUGUUCAGCUCAAUAUUCUCAGCUCAUCAACGUCUGUAUCAAACUAUCAUAAAAGUACCAACAACUCACGAGUCACGACCUAGCCUAAUAACAAGAGCACCAGUGUGCACAUUUCCCUCUAUGAAACCAUCAUCUGAGUACCAAUUUUCAAUCACAGCCUCGAAAAGACUUAAAGACUUUAUCUUAAUCUUAACACAUCAUCAAAAGCCUUUUAGAAAGUUUAUAGAGCUUACGAUGGCACUAGUAAUUGUAACGACCCGGUUCUCUGAAAUCCGUUUGGUUAAUUAUUGUGGUUUAUUAUUAUUAUUUCAAAUCAAACCAAAGCCUUCUCGCUUUCGUAAUUGUGGGUUUCUUAAUCAUCAAGUCUAUUCUUCAAAAAAGAGUUAAAGUCACAUAUCUUGGGUUUUAUUCUAAAGGGAUGUAUUAACAGCCCACAAAACCUCUUAGCCAUUUUCUUAAGAAAAAUAGACCUAGUCAAGAUGAAAUUAAUUGGCAAGUAAAGAGAGAUCAUGUCAUAGCCACCAAUAUAUUUUAUGCCUUACUUUUUUUGGUACACAUCAAUUCGAGAGAAAACUUCUCAUUCAAGGAUCUACGACUUUCACAAAAUGGUACUCUUGUCCAUUAAAACUUUGCUACUUUUGUCUGUCAACUUAUCAACCAAAAUUGGUAAGGGCAUAUAGUCUACCACAAAUCAUUCAUGGACAAGCUUUCAGGUGUUUGGUUCUUGAUGGACAAAUAUUAGUGACAAGUUUUGAUAGAUCAAAACAUAUCCUAAGACAACGUUUUGAUGGACAAUUCCCAAAAAGUAACAAUUUGUAAUUGUAUUUUGUAAUUUGUAAUUGUAUUUUUUAGUUGAUAAAAAAAAAAGCAUUAUGGGUAAAAAAAACCAUUGCUUCAAUCUUAUCCAUACAUGAUACAUGAUACUUGUAUGAACAACAAAGCUUUUAAAUGAAGUAGUUUUCUCUAAGAAAGACAUGGCAAUGUAUGAUGAGAGAUAGUAUUGAACAAAGCAAAGCGUGGAGGGACAUGUUUUAUAGAAAUUUGAGAAUGUGGCAUAAUAUGCAAGUUCCUUGACACCAAUUACCAUAAGAAAUGUUUUAUCUUUGGUGGACACCGUAUUUUCCAGCAAAACGCUUUUAAUACAUCAACUGUAGAUCCAAAUAGUAUUGAUGGUUUUUCUUUAUCUGGAUAAACCCGUUCUACCUGAUAUCAUGAUUUAACCGUGUAUUUUCCUUUUUGCUUGAAAUGUCAACCAUACUUAUCUACCAUGUGAAAAUUUUGAUUAUUAUUAUCGGGAAUAUUUUAAUGUCAUCUCUAAACAAAAGUCGUUUAAGUAUCUAAAACACAUUUGGGGAAGUUUUAAGAACAUAAUUUCUCCAAUAUAUAUAAUCAUCAUUUCUUCUUCUUUGGUUCUUCGUUUGCAUAGUCCUUGAUUAAUGCUUCCACGUCUUUCCAGAACAAACCCUCAACGAGAACUCCUUCUUUCGUGAACCUGAAAAGGUACAAACAAAAAAACAUACAACAUAAGCUCGAGCUUAUAAUGAACAAAUAGUAAUGCAGAGAAAGAGAGAGAGACCAUUGGGUGACACUUUUGGUGAAUUGGACUGACUUGCCAGCUGAGAUUGAUUUUGGAUCAGCACUGUCAAUGGUGAGAGUGUACUCAUCAGAGAACCUCGGCAGCUUUGAAGACACAAUCAAGCCAGUGCUGGUGAACGAUCCCUGCGUAUUCAACCAACCCAUUUUUAAAGAUUUUUGAACAUAGUAGCAAAUUAUGAAGCUAAGCAUUUAAAACAAAUGAAAGUGCGCAUGCCUAUCAAACAGAGAACAUUAAAACCCUUAUGUGUCUUGACUGUAUCAGAAUGAAACAAACCCACUAACCAAAUUACUCGCAUCAAAUCUAACCAAUAAGUAGAGAAUGAAAUAUGCUCUUAAAACUCUUAUCCUCUCUGAUACAAACUACAUGAAAGGAGUAAUCAUCUUCAAGCUGGUGAAAAGGAGAAAGAAAACAACCCACAUUACAUUCCCAGAACCACCCAUUUAGCUGAACAACUAUGUUUCUGAGGAACAAGACAGCACCAAUCCCAAACACCAAAAGAAACAAGAACCGCCAGAGUCAUAUUGCCAAGACUUUGAAUAAUCAAAACAAAAAAAAAUUGAAAUUGCAGCUAUUCCUAAAGCUCAAAUGCCCAAAACCAAGGUCCCCUAAGAUACGCAUAUACACUACUUAACAUGUCAGACACACAAUUUCAAAUUCCUUACAAAACAAAAGGAAUGUAAAAGUUUGACACAGUAUGUGAAGGAACUCUGUACAUUAGGCACCUAAAUCACAGGACUAAAGUGGAUGCAUCAUAGAAAAAAGCAGACACAAACAAUCCAAGAUUGAUUCCUACUCUAAACAGUUAGAGAAUCAAACCUCAAGAGGAUAGGUGAACAAUAUCGCAUUCUUCUCCUUAGUGUACAUAAUCAGCUGCAUCACCCCAUUCAGCACUACAUACGUACACCAUAGUCAAAGAGCCACACAUCUUAUCCAAUCACACUCUACUAGAAAAUGUUUUUUUUUACUUCAAAAUCCAAUGCCUAAGCACAAAGAAGUCAAGCCACGUCACAUUUAUCUAAAUCCCUAAAAACCUUAACUGCUAAGUCCGCAGAACAAAAUGGUAAUCAAGCAGAAGGCAUUAAGCGAAUCCAAAGCAACGAUUUGAUGUUAAAAAAAAAGGAUAUAACGCAAUGCAUCCAAUCAGAAAGUCUCUGUUCUCGGGAAACUUCUUGUUGUAGAACUGAGCAACGAGAGCAACCGCGAUGAUAACCGCGCCUAAGAUCAGCUUCAUGUUGCUCAGCCUCACGUCCUCCUUGUAGCCACGGCUCGUAACGAUCUACACAAAAGGACAAAAGGAUGAUCGUAAUCCACAGAUCGGAGAAUAUAGAGGAGGAACGCGUAAGGUGAAUAAUCUGAGGAUAUGUGGCUUACAUCGGAGACGGACUCGUCGAGCAUGUGCUUGAUAGAGUUGUGGUCCAAUAGAUUGACCUUCUUAACAUUCUUGUUCGUCGAUUCUACUUUCUUCUCUUCCAUGGCGGAUCGGAUCGGAUCGGAUCUCUAGGUCUCUUCGAAAAUUCAAGUGCUCUAGCGAACGCAGUUUCUCAAGGAAGACGAUACUUAAACUGGGCCGUGAUGGGCUUCAAAGGCUAUUUUGCAUUAUAAAUUACUUUUUUAUUUCAGACUUUAAUUACUUAAUAUUGUUCUUUUUGGUAUGUCAAUUAAACAAUUUAAACGUUUUUGGCAACUAAUCAAACCCUCUUUGUUAAAAAAUCUAAAUAAUAUUUUCAAUCAUAUAUAUUUGACUACUUUUAAGUCUUUAAACUUAAAUGUUGAAGGUUUGUUUCUUUAUAUAAUUAGAUUGGAUUCCAAAUAUAUUGAUGGUUAACUUUUAAUUAUCUUGUAGAGAGAUAACUCAGAUAAGAGGCCAAAAAGAAAAUAAAAAUGAUAGGAAAAACACCAAAUAAAUAUAUAUUUUUUUUGGAACAACACCAAAUAAAUAUCAUACAAACCAAUAUUCUUGCAGGAAUUACAAAUAAUCAAUUUGCAAUUAUCAGGAAAUGAACAACAUUCCUGAUUGUGUGAUAACUAAUCAAGAAAUUAUUGGAAUUUUAAUUUAAAAUCUAUUAAUUUAUUUCAAUCUUAUUCCUAAAAUCCUAGCUUGAUUGAAGAAGAUUUCAAGAAGGCUUGGACUUGACUUUGCUAGAAGUCCCGUUUGAGAGCAACAGCUUAGCUCCCUUCACAAGCUCUUCCUUGAUCAUGAACAGAACCGCAGCAGCUAAAACGCUCUGAACUAUCUUUGUGCUCAUCCCUUUGUAGAACCCGUAAAGCCCUUCAUAUCGAAUCAUCUUCAGAAUCGCAUCCAGUGUUCCUGUAAUUCAACCAUCCAUAGAAUUAGGAAAUGAGUUUUGUGGCCUUUACUAAUGAUCUCAUAACAACAAGAGGAAACAAAAACCUUUGUACUGAUGUCUUUUGUCUCCUGUUGUGACCUGUUUGGCUUGAAGUCGUGACUUUACAACAAGGAGAGGAUAAGUUGUGACUGUAGCUCCAAGUUUAGCCACAGCUCCAAGAAGAAAUGUCUAUGGGGAUUGGGGAACAAAGUAUAAACAAGGAGGCAGAAGCAUCUUAUCAAAAGAAAAAGAAUGCAAAAUAAUUAGAGUCCGAACCUCCCAAGCGGUAACGCUGUUGCUACUCUUCAAGGCACGUUUCUUCUUCAGCUUUGCUAGCAUUGUCUCGUACAACAUAAAUUGCAUUGAUGGAUUACUUACCUGUAAGUUUUUCAAAAACAGUCAGAAAAUGCACCCACACAAACAAUAUCAGAGUAGCUUCAGAAGCUAAGUUCACAUACCAUGAUCAAUGUCGGAAUUACACCUUUCCAGAAGCCAGUCACUCCAGAUUCAUCGUAAACGUCUCGAAUCUGAAACAUUGUUCAAUAUGUAUCACAGAAGUUGUAUUCAGAGGAUUAUAGAAUAUGAAAGGGUUUCAGUUUCAUAUUUCAAUCAGGUCGAGCCAACUCUUUCUGCUUUGUAAAAAUACGAAGCUGCCUCAUACCGUGUUAAAGGUUCCAUAUGGACGCGGCUCAACUGGAACCAGAACUUCAAUUUCAGAAGGAGGUGACUCAGAGACUGUCUUUUGAUCUUUUGGCAUUUUUCUGUGGGUCUGCAUUAUAUACAAGUAUUCAAUAAGAAUCAGGGGGAUUAGAAAGAGGACCAAAAAACACUAAAUGCAAAAAGAAUACUUUGAAGAAUAAGACAUCUGUAUGAAAAUACAUAGGAAAUAGAUUAAACACCAUAAGAAGAACUUUACUGUGCUGUAAAUGAAGCCACUUAUACCUGCAUGCGUGUAACAAUCACCCAAAUUGGAUUCGUCAUCAGAACGUUAACUGCUCUGCAUAGAGAAAUAGCUUCGUACUUCAAAUGAGACAGUAGAGUCAAAAUAAAAAAAGAGAUUUAACAUCAUUGAAGUAUGGAUGCUUAAUUAUCUUUGGCAGCCAAAGUUUAGAAUCAAACAUCAAAACAACUAUGACUAUAGGACCUGCCAGUAAAAGAAUACACCAUCCACCAAGUAGCUCCAAUAAACAUGCAACACUAUAUAAGAGCAUGAGAUGAUAGCAUCAGUAAUGUGACCACGGAGAGCAUUCACUCAUAGCCUACACUCCAGAGAGUCAAUGUGAAAACUUUGAGAAAGAACUAAACCACCUAAGUGUUACUUAGCAUCGAAAUCAACCAUUCAAAACACUUAUGUAUAGCUUCACUAACUAAAGACACUCCGCAUUGUAACAGACCAAAAUCUAAUCAUUUACGACGAAAACUACAUAAAAAGAUUGAUGCUUUACCCGGCUAAAGCAGCCACAAGGAGUGAAGCGAACAUCCCAACGGAUCCGUCACCCAACCCUAUUUUACUUUGUUGCAGAGCUGCAGCUUCAGCUUGAUUCCGAAACACUUGGUAGAAGUAAUAGUACACACCCUAGUGAAGCAACUAACUUAGAAAACUUUCAAACAUCAAUCCACAAAAUGUCAAACAAAAUAGAGAUUCUGCAGAUACAAAAAGUGAGAGAGAGAAUGUAUAACCUGUGACGCCGCGGUUCCAGCGAGAGACGGAGCCAAUCCACCAUAUAAACGCUCCCAUCCUUCUUGUUUCACAACCUUUCAAUACAAAAAAAAAUCAGAGCUAAAAAAAAACUCUCUCUAAAACCAGCCAAAUCCUUUGAUCCUGAGAGUAACCUGGCACAUGUGUUCGAUGGUUCCAAGCUUCCUCUAGCCAGUCCAUUUAUCAAAGCGUCCGACAUGAUCCCUACCUAUCGGAAUCGCUACGAGAUCUAGAUUACCUCCGAUUCAAAUUGGAACCGUCCCCAAACAAAACUUCCGACGACGGAGGGCGGAGUCAAAACGGAUCUUAUGUAGGUUGGAAGAAACUCCCGACGACGGAGAAUCAAAGCUUCACACGCGAUCGAGUUGACGUUGAAGAAAGAACAGUG
This 83378-nucleotide long non-coding RNA is filed under the name Brassica napus (rape). Its description in RNAcentral is "long non-coding RNA (BNAP_LNC016595)". The stretch from base 32560 to 32691 matches the Rfam family "mir-393 microRNA precursor family". Lineage: Eukaryota; Viridiplantae; Streptophyta; Magnoliopsida; Brassicales; Brassicaceae. The record is from RNAcentral.